This 70945-nucleotide long non-coding RNA is filed under the name Sorghum bicolor (sorghum). RNAcentral's name for it is "long non-coding RNA (SBIC_LNC000993)". The stretch from base 19345 to 19451 matches the Rfam family "Plant small nucleolar RNA R71". Lineage: Eukaryota; Viridiplantae; Streptophyta; Magnoliopsida; Poales; Poaceae. The record is from RNAcentral.
CUACACCAUCACUCUUCAAGUAAGGUAACACCUUAAGGUACUUGACUAUCACUUUUAUAAGCUUCUCCUUGGUUCUGGCGUUCAUAUAAAUAAAAGAGACAAACAUGUAUGAUUUACAACUCUAGAUUAACCAACCCAACUGAUUCAACAUGUUUAGUCCUUUAAUCCUUGUUCUUAGUACUACCUCCAUGAUCCCACACUCCUAAUCAUAUGAGCUAAAAUGUUACACAUUCAAUCAUUGAGAGAGAUAUAAAGAAAUAUACAUAGAUAGAUUAUCUUUCCAUAAGGUUGAGAGAUCUGAUCUGACAAAUGUUAUAAGUGCUACGCUCAUGAACUUUUCAUCCAUCAACUUUGUCUUGCUCACUAUGCUUAGGGUUAGAGAAGAACAAAUACACUUUAGGUUAUGUUGGUGUUUUCCACCAACAGGACCCAUGCACUUGAUCUCUGCCUUGUCUCUAUGAGCAGGUACACUUCGAGCAAAACACGGAGGAGUUUUAUAACUCUCAGACUGUACCAAAUGAAGGACCUGGAUCUACGAGCACAAACACACUGAGCAGGAUACUGCCAACACCGCACUUCGAGCUGCUGGGCAAACGAAGAACAUGGGUGACACCGUAUCAAGAGGUGCAGACGUCAAGGUCCGCACCUGAAUCAAAUGACGUACCUGAAGAAUGAACACGGUGAGAAGUCUUGUUAAGAAGACUUAAAACAUUGAACCCUCGCCGAAAGGUAAGAUCGGUAGUUAUCCAUAUUUAUCCUUUCUGCAUUCCCUUUUCCCUUUAAUUGUUUACUUUCCUUAAAUAGAUUAUUAGUUAAUCAUGCUAUCUUGAAAAGAAAAUAAAAAUGUUAAAAAAUACUAAGCCCCAUGUGAGUAUACGAGUGGCAUAAAACCCAUAAGUACCUUCACUGUGGUGGCAUAAAAAUAAAAUAAAUAUUUCUUUUCUGCUUUAUAAAAUAAAAAAAAUAUAAAAACAGGGAGUAAUAUUUGUUGAGGAAGCUCAACGUGAUGAAGGCUAGAUAUUUAUGCUAACACUUAAUUAGUUCCACAAGCUUUGUUGUCUAUUUGAGCUCCACAGAAUUUAAGAAUCAAGAAGACUAGCAGACGGAGGACAUUCUAAUCGCUGUCAGAAUGCUGCUGACUUUCAAAUACACCUGCCACCUGCUAGCUACAUCAAGAGAAAUUAUGUCAAAAUUCAGCUUGGGGGAGAGCACCCCAUUUAUCUCGCUAAGUAUUUCUACCUAUCUUUAUACUUAUAUUAUAUUAGAAUAUUAAAAUAAACUAUGAAAAAGCAAAUAAAGAUUUUGUGCUUAUAUAUAUAUCUUUUGCUUAGUGUGUUUAAUAAAUAAAUAAAGUGGCUAUGCUAAUCUGAAUCUUAAUAAUAAAACUCUAGCGUGGAUAUGAUGAAUAGUUGCUCUGCCUAAUUUGCAAAUUUGAUGUUCUCUCUCGAGUUUAGACAUAACUGUUAUAAUUUAAAGCUUGCUCUAGAUCUAAACUUGUGGGAUGAAAACUUGAUCUGAAAUCUAAGUUGUUAACGGAUAUGAUAUGGGAAGGUUGAGCUGCUGUUUAUCUGUUCCUAGAGAUGCUAGAAUUCUGGAGAAUUUUAUCUUUGAAAAAUCUUUAAAAUAUUCCAUGAUGAGUUCCUGUAUGAUGAGAGUUUAAAUUCCUACCACAGCCAUAUAUACAUGCUUAUUAGACUAUGAACCAUACAUUUACUUUUUACUGCUUAUGAGCAUUGAGUGUGGUCAAGCUGUGUAGACCCUUAGGAGCUUGUCAUGCGGUUAAAAUCAAGAUUCACUUGCACGUUCACUCAUAUAUGCUACUUCUACUCCGGAAGUACCAUCCACAUAUAUCAAUCCAUGUCCAUCUCGAGAACCACCCAAAAAUAUUCUACUCCUAAUCCGGGAGAGAAUAACCAAAAAUAUUUCUGUUUUUCCUUGUGAAAUAAAUGCUCAAGUUAUCUUGCUACUACCACUUGCUAUAUUAUCUCAAGAGAUGAGUGCUCUGAAAAAAAGAAAAAAAAGAAAAAAAAAUAAUAAACGAGGAAAUAAAAAGGGGCAAGUGCCCGGAACCUCGAAAGAAAUAAAAACUGAGAUGAGAGGUAAAAAUGGACAAGUGUCCGAUAGUAGAGUUAGGGGUACAAGAUACCCACCUGAGAGGAAAGAAAAAGAAGAGCAUCUCAUUCUCCUCAUAAAGUUUCAAAAAGCAAGGAAGGUAUGUAUCCCCUCAAAAGAGCAAAAGUAGAAUUAGACUUUCACCAUUGUUAUCACCAUCAUCACCAUACACCAUUCAUUCGCCACGCAUGCACAUCUUGAUUUGGCUUAUUGAUUUGUUUCUUUGGAUCCAUGGUUUGACUAUACAAUAAAUGUCUUGUAAGUAUGUAUACUUUAUCUCCCACCUAUGAGCUCCGGAUAUUAAAGCCUUAUUAGAAUAGGGUGAGAGAGAAGGCAAUGUCACUAUGCCUUAUACCACAAAUACCACAUAUCUUGAGAGAAGGCAUAUACCAUCACUGCCUUGGUAAGGAUCCAGAAAUACCACAAAAGAGAGAUUUAGAGAGUCAUACAAGGAAUCUCUGAGUUUUAUUUGAAAAUCUGCAAAAACUCCAGAGCUAUAGCUGAUCAAGAAUAAGAGACAUGACACUUGGCUAUAUUGUUCUAUCUCUUAACUACUCAAGACAGAAGUGACGGUUACAAGUCCCAUAGUGAAAGGCAAAGUAAGUAAGUUUUAAGUCUUGACAGUUUACUCUAACUCAGAGAUAAGACCUCAUUUAAAAAGCAUGUGUACCGUCAACUUUUAAAAAUAUUGCAACAACUUCUGAUCCAUCGCUGAGAUUAUCCUUGCUCAGGGACGAGCAAGAGGUAAGCUUGGGGGAGUUUGUUGACGGUCCUUAAGUAUCAAAUUUAAUUAUCAAAUAAAUAAAGAAAAGGAUCCAAAUACAACCAACAUCUAAACUUAGGGUUUUAUCUGACAGAAUUCCACAAGUUUUGGUGUUUGUCUAUUUCUACAGGGGGUUAUCAGGAAAUAUGGAAGAAAGGCCCACACGUCGGGAUUACAUAGAGAUAUUAACAUGCCACGCAAUUUUCUACCAUCUAGAAGACUCCAAAAGCCACGGGAACGAACGGGAGGCUGAUCGGGCCCCGGGGCAGGGCGCCCGCCCAAGUCCCUUGGGUGCCCGCCCAGCUACAGUAACCAAUCAGCUUCAACUUCGCGGAUCAUGCUCCACCGACCUAAUACUUCAAGGAAAACCACACGAUCAAUGUCGGUUUGAUCCGAUGGCCCAGAUUCAUCUGAAAAGACUAUAUAACCAGACCCCCUGGCCCCAGGAGGAGACACCCCUUGAUCAUUAUUCAUUAUUCAUAGAUAGAGCAAAAGCUAGGGUUUAGAGAUGAGAGCUCUCCUCUCUUCUCUAAACUAGAGUAGAUCUAGAUAGUAGCAAGAUGGAGAGCGAAGGAGGAUUAGAGGAGAGGCCGUCCUGUCGGUUCUUCCUCCGGUUGUACUUCGUCAUGAUCAAGCUCUAAUCAAGCUUGCUCAUGGGAUGACUCUGGUAAUCUACUUCUAAUUCAUUAUGCAAUUACUAAUCAUGUAUGUUAUGGUUCACAACUCUUUUGAGUAUUCUAAUCUAUAGGACGCUAUAGGUGAGAGUUGUAGUAUAGGUGUAAGCGAGGUGCUUAGAUCUAGAUUACUUGUGGAUAUCCCCUGUCUAGCUGGAUCGUGUGGUAGGCCGCGUAGGUGACAGUUACGUUGGUCCUCUGUAGUCCACCUCUCGUUAGCAGGACGGGUAGGGUUUAUCGGCCUAAGGAUAAACAUCCUUUGUGGUGUACUCUUAUCACGUGGUUUGUCCCAGACAUAGACAUACCCCUUUGAAGUAGAGAAACCAUAGUUAUUCUCUCUAUUCUGCUACCAUCGCCCAUAUACUAGAAUUGCUCUACUCUCUAUUCCCAUAUUAUCAGUCACUGUUAUCUUACCUUUAAUAUUGUUCUUAUUCAAUUCUACCAUCUUUCCUAUUUACACUUAUCUAUCUUUCUUGGUUAAGUUAGAGCGUAGAUCAGUUCUCCCGUUUCCCUGUGGAUACGAUAAAACCUUUAACCGGGUAAAAAGCUUCAACGGUAUCCGUGCGCUUGCGGAUUAUCUGUGUGCGUAUAAAUACCAUAGUACACUCUAGUGCCAUGCUGAGGAUGACAACCUAGUAUUCAAGUGGUGUUAGCGAGUGUCAACAACCGGCAGAAGGUCAGUAGUAACUUCAGUGACGGGGUUACUCCAGUAGUUACCUGCAUUAAACAUGUCUACAAGAUUUGCAGAUUCUAAUCCUUCCGGUUGUGAUGGUAUACCGGGGUUAGUAACAGCAACAGCAGCAGCUAUUUGAUUUAACUAAGAUUCAAUCAUUUUUAUUAAAGCUAUUUUGAUUCUUGAUGGCAGUAGAGAAAUUAUCCAUUCUGUUAUUUAUAUUUUCUAGCAUUUUAUCAUUAGAUGCCAAUUUCUUAGAUAGGUUAUCCAUUAGCUUUCCUUGAUUAGACACUAACUCUCUCAGAGGUGGAAGAUUAUUAUUAUUGUAAGAAUUAUUACCUUGAUAAUUACCUGAGUAGUUAGGCCUCUGUUGAUUCCAACCUUGAUUUUGUUGAGGACGAUUGUAGUAGUUGUUGUUGUUAUUGUUGAUGUAGUUCACAUCCUCAAGUAUCUCAGGGCAGUGAUUGCCUGAGUGUCCAGUAUAUCCACACUGCUCACAAGUCAUGUGAGAGUCGUAGAUGUGCAUAACUUCUUUCUUAUCUCCAGCUCUAUCAUUGAGCUUCUUCAUGAGCAGGUCUAGCUUUGCAGACAACAUGUCUACCUCCUUGAGCUGAUGUAUACCUCCACCUCUCUUGCGUGUCUAGGUCCUUUCUUCAUUCCAGCUUUGGUUGGAUGCUGUCGGUGUUUUCCCCCUGGGGGGUCACACCAACGAGUAAAUUUGUAUGCGUGCUCCCUUUCCCAGAUGGUGAUGCAAGAAGACACAAAGAUUUAUCCUGGUUCGGGCAAGAGAAAGCCCUACGUCCAGCGGGGGAAGUUUGUAUUAUCUUGCACCGAAGUGCUUGUACAGGGGCGAAUACAAGCGUGGUAUGAAGUAUGGGAGUUCUACUGCGUAUGGGCGUGGUGUUGCCUCACGUGUUGUUGUCUAUCUAUUCCCGAGUCCUUCCUAUUAUAGCACCAAGGAGAGACCCAGGGUACAUGUAUAGGUGUCAGAGUAGGGGUCGAUAGAAGCAUUGAGUGCUGACCUACUCGAGGCUUCCGUACCGGCGUAGCCUCGAGCCGUGCCAUCUUGGUAGCCUGGUAAUGAUUACGCGUGCCCCUGCAUCCUGCUCUGCGCGCCGUCUUGGGCUGGUUCAACGGUCGCACGCUUGUACGGCAUGGCGGCAGAUCCGGCAGGGUGGUUGUGGUGUUGUCAGUCGACGCCCAACUCGUCUUCAGGAAGGAACCGUGUGUGGUCGAUGGUCGGACGCCGUGCAAUGCCCUAUUACCCGGAGCGCUGACCUUGGUUGCCUCGAGGGAGUACUGAUUGGACGUUCCAUCCCUAUUUCCCGCGUCCUGACACGCCCUGGGCCGUUUGGUGGGCAAGGCUGCAAAAAGAACGACGGGACGGGUGCCUGUUAUCACGCCUCCUGUGACCAGUGUGUUAGGUGGGAAUGCGGCGGGCGCAUUAAAUGUCCUGGCUCUCGUGCGCGCGUCAGGCGGCGGACAGUGUCCUUGCGCUUGAUUCUCCUUGAUUCGCUCGGGCCUGUUUCCGUAUUCGACGAUAGCUGGCGCUCGACCCUUGAUCGAUUCGCUCGACGCUAUUUCCGUCUUCGAGGCUGCGGCCGUUGAUGGCUGCGCAUAUGUAUGACCAGAGCGUCGAGUUGAUGGCCUCGACCUGCGUACGGAUAAUCUCAUUAUGUGCAUCGGUGAGGGUACCCCCUAUUGAUACCCUCGACAGUAGCCCCCGAGUCUCCAUUCGAGUGCUGGUGCUCGAGUGGAGGCUUUGUUUUGCGCUCGAAUUUCCGUGGGGGCGCGCGAGCGACCCCGCGGGGGUAGCCCCCGAGCCCUCGGAGGAGUUUUUGACUCCUUUGAGGGUUAUUUUGCCUAAUUUGCAGAAACGCUAUCGGCACCAGUGGAGGAAGGUUCUGAUUGGCUUGCUUUGCGCGGAGGUUUCGACGUACUCUCGAUAGAGCGAGCGUCUUGCACCCCAGAUUGAGUUCCUAGCGGGUAGUCCAAGUGAGAACCUGUGCCCCUUUCGAGGGGGUCAGCUGUAGCCCGGAGGCGUUCUCAUAAAGCAGGGUCGACGUGGUCAGGGGUACUGGUCUCAUUCGAUAGAGUCCAGUGGCUCGAUGCCUCCCGUCAGGGGGAUCCCUCUCGACUGUCUCGACCCUACCUUGGACAUCGCCAGCGAGUCUUCGAGGCGGGCCUCGAUCUUCGACCGCUCGCUGGGGAUCCCUGACUCCGAUGCUCGAGAUCGGCUGUCGAACCCUUUCAGUGGGCCAGCCUGCGACCUCUCGAGGCUUUCGCGAGUACGCCCCUUGACUUAUAAGGGAAGGAAGUGGCCGCGGCGGUUCGCCUUUUCGCCCGUUGGGCGCGCCUUUUCAGGUGGGUGACGUUACGACACUGCGUCGGCGUGGAAUUCGGAGCGCCCCGCCUGUGAGGGGGAAAAGACUGUUAGAUGGCGCAUUUAUGGGGGGAGUUACCUCAUUUCUCAGAUCUGUCUGUUGGCGGACUGCUGCCUAUAAAUACGCAGUGGCGCCGCUGCCGUUCUUUCUUCUUCCUUUCGCCUUCUUGCUUUCACCCUUUCGUUGCCUUAGCUCUCUUGCCGUCUUACGCGCGCGUGCACCCCCUCGAGCGAUAGCGAAUCCACCGUCCUUCCAGCCAAGAUGCCUGUGACACUCGUCGCCGCCGACGACUGGCGCCCGUCGUCGAUGACAGAGCACCGGUUGCUAGAGCUUGAGAGUGAGGGACUGUUGCGCCGCCGCACCUCGCUGUCGUCGCCAGAGUGGAUCGCACCGCCGGCGGGCCACAGGGAGCCCUAGCCGCCCGAGGGCUAUGUGGUGUCGUUCGCCAAGUUCCACCGCCACGGCCUGGGCGCUCCCCCGAGCCGCUUCAUGCGGGCCCUCUGCUUCCACUAUGGGGUGGAGCUUCAGCAUUUCUCCCCGAACACCAUCACCGUCGUGGCGGUCUUCGCCGCGGUGUGUGAGGGCUAUCUGGGGAUGAUGCCCCACUGGGAUCUGUGGCUCCACCUCUACAGGGGCGAGCUUUUCAACGCCCCCACCGGAACCACCGGCGUGAGGAAGCACGUGCGGGCCGGGUGCCUCAACCUGGUGUUGAAGACGAAGAAGACGGAGAGGCCGCGCGAGUACAUCCCGGUGGGGUUGUCAUCGAACCACGCCGGGUGGGACUCGCAGUGGUUCUACCUGAGGAACGACGACAGCCUCUUCCCUGCUUACAUCGGUCGUCUGAUUACGGAGCGCCCGGACAACUGGACAUACGGCGUUGUCCAGGAGCACCAGUCGCGGCUCGACCCCCUCCUCGACGCCAUGAAGAAGCUGCGCCUGGAGGGCUUGUCCGCCGCUCUCGUCCUCUCGGCCGUCCAUCGUCGAAGGGUCCUCCCUCUGAUGUCUCGGUCAUUGAGGAUGGACGAGAUGGGGUCGGGCGUUUCGUCCCGGGAUCUCGAGGCGUGCCGGAUGUCCAACGAGGCUCUGGCAGAUGAUGAGACCGCCGCCCGAGUUAGGGCGGCCAUCGCUGGUGACUUCAAGUCGAAGCACGUCAACGACUUCCCUAUGAGGCCCGACGAAGGCUCGAUCGACCUGGUACGCUCUUUUCUCGCACAUAACUCCCACUCUAGAUUCUCCUUGAUCCUUUUUAAACCUUCCUUUGUUCUGUUAGGGACGUAUUGAUGUCCGGUCCUCGAGGCCCCCUGUGAAGGAGGAUGAGGUGGAUCGCGACAGACGGCGCCAGUCCGCCGAAAAGCUGAAGUCCGCCAAGGACUCUGCAAAGAAAGGGGAGAAAAAGAAGAACCUCGACCGCCAAGCAUUGGAUGCGCGUCGAGCUAAAUCCAGGUAGAGGGGGGAGCCUGAGGAAGAAUCCCCCAGCGAAGAUGAUGACGACGACGAGGACAGCGAUGAUUUUGAGGGGAUGGCGUCUCGCCUUGACCGGAUCCUCGAGGGUCCGCCUCGAGGCGACGUCCAGGUCCCUCGGACGAAAGCUCCAAAGGAGGGUCCAAGCGGAUCUCACCGCCCUCGGGCCGACACCCCUCCCGCGCCCAUGGCUGGUCAGGUCGCGCCGCGCCCUCCCCCAGUGCCCAGGGGGGGUGGCCAUGCUAGGCCCCAGGCGACGGGGCCUCUGACUUGCGGUCGGGCCGCGGCCUCCGAGAAAAGAGAGGCCGGCCACAGGAGCGCCAGUCCCGGCGCUCGUCAAGCGGGAGUCAUUGCGCCAAGGCCAGCGCCUCUCCUCGAGGGGCCUAGAGCCUUGACACGGGAUGGCUUGAAGCCCACCGGUCGGGGUACUAGGAGGCGAGCUGUUCUCCCCGUGGGGUAAGCUUCUUCGUCGUUGUGAAAUUUGUUUUCCUGUUCCUCUGCAUUUUCUCACAUGCCGAUCUUUUUAUGCUCAUCCCUUUCUUUUCUCAGGCUAAAGCGGACACUCAAGCAGGCCCAGCCUUCCAUGGCGAAAAGGCUCAAGGCGGGAGCAGUUUCCAAGGAGUCAGGUUUGUGGCUCACUUUUGGUACUUGUGAUGUUCUCAUGUUGGUCGUCAUAGUGACCGGCCUCCAUUCUUUGUUUUGCAGGAUCCUCCGACUCUCGUCCUCCGGCUGACGCUGAGGGCGCCCUGUCUCGUCCCAAGCCUGCCCUGUCGCCGCCGACGCGGGUCGAGGCACCACAGACUCAGGGGCAAGAAGGAGCCCCCGAGCCCCCUCGAUUGGGGGUCGAGGCGGACCCCAUUACCAUCAGCGACACGUCUGGUGGCAACGAGAUGUCGGGGGAUGCCCACCCUAUGGAGGAGGAGGCGACGACCUCCCUCAUCGCGGGACGGACUCCUUGGCCCGCUGGUCUUCGCGCUCUCGAGGAGCAGAAGAAGAAAGAGGAGGAGGAUGAGGAGCGGGAGCACGAGGCAACAGGGCAGCCGCAGGAUCAGCAGCAGCAACAGCAGCAGCAGGAGGAACAGCAGCAGCAGCAAGAGCAGCAACAGCAGCAGCAGCAGCAGCAAGAGUAGCAGCAGCAGGAUCAGGGUGGCCAAAAGGAAGGACCAUUCGAGCCCCCGCCUCAAUGUCUGGCCCAACCAGUACCACCGGCGCCGCAAGAGCCCGGCGAGUAGGAGGAAGGUUUGCCGGUAUACGGCCCUCCAACCCCAGCGUGGAUCCUUCCGGGGGCGCCUGCCGCGAUACGGGCAGAGUCGGGGCGAGCGGACGGAGUGGUGGCACUUGCGUGCAUGAUGCGCACCCCCGCCGACCCCGAGUCCGAGAUCAGGAGGACGAUCUACGGCAUGGACGAGAUCGCCCCAGGGUUCCUCUGGGAGCGCCGGGCAUGGGAGGACCGCUUUCCCUCUAAGGAGGACGAAAUUGGGUCGUCGGGGAGUAAGGACAGUACCUAGAAGACGGUGGACGAUGAUGGGCGGUUCCCAUGCCUCGUCGACCUGUUCUUGCGCCAUGGGGGCUCCCUCGAGACCGUCGAGAACCUUAUCCGCGGCGUCAAGGCGCGGGCCGAUCGAGAAAUUGAGAACUGGUGCCCCGAUCAGAUUCGUAUCCGGGCUUCCACCGAUCCGUCCGAGCCCAACAUCUUCCUCGAUGAUAAAAAGGAGGCCGAGAAGUGGGAACAUGUCGAGGAGCUCCGCCUUUGGAUGAAGCACGUGGUGGGCUCCUGUCGGACAUCAUCAACAACGGGCUCGGGCCGGCUUAUUUUGUAAGUGCUUUUCGAUCUUUAACCCUCAUGGGGCCUUUUGGUUUUGCGUUCUAACCGUUCGACCCCCGGCUCGCAGGACAUGAAAGAGACCUCCCGCAUCAAGUCGAGCUUCAUUCACGCCACAAGAGGCGGCUGGGAGCAGCUCCCCGUCCUCAAGGACCAACUCCUCGAGUCGCAAGAAAAACUCCUUAAGGCCUAUAAAGACCUCAUAGCGCUCGGGGAGGAGAAGAAGGCGAGGGAGGCUGCCUUGGCCGAGGCUCGAGAAGCCUCAAGGAAGGCGGAGGAGGAAACGACGAUGCUACGGGAGCGGGCUCUGACGGUCGAGGAGGCCGCAUCCAGAGCUCGGGAGGAGGCCCUGUCCUACAAGAGCGUCAUUGCAGACCUGGACAAGGAGAAGGGCCUUCUCAAGACUGACCUGGACUCCCUUCAAGAGUCCUUUCAAAAGAUGAAGGUGGAGCACGUGAACGGCGAGAUCGCCAGGAGCGCCACGGAGGAAGCCAAGAAGAAGGCCCUCGAAGAUCUCGAAGCGGAGCGGGCUCGAUCCCGCAGGCUCUCUGAUGACGUCGAACGUCUGAAGGGAGAGCUGUUGGAGAAGAGUGGGGCUAUUGCUCAGGCUGGCAAGGCGAUCGAGGAUCUCCGCAUUACCAACACUGAGCUGACCCGCUCCAACAGAGAGAUCGAGAGGGCCAACACCAGACUAGUCGGCGAGAACACGGCCUUGGAGGAGAGUGUUCGCGGUAUGUUUCCUUUGUCGGAUUUCUUUUUUGGCGUGUGCUUGGUUUUCCCUAAAGUUUCUUGUAUUGGUAUUUACAGGGCUUAAGGACGAACUCCUAAUCGCCCAAGCCGAGGCCCGUAAUGUUAAGGCCCAGCUCGAGGCGGAGGUUGCUUAUCACCGUCGCGUGCGGACGGCGAUAAACGACCUUUCGACCUCCUGGGAGGUCGAGCCUGUGGACGAGUCGAAGGAGGACGCUCGAGGCGACGCACUGGUCGACCAGCUGUGCUACUUAGGCGCGACGCUGAGAGAUCGGGUGCGGGAUGCCCUCCACAUCGGGGUGAAGCGGGCGAUGGCGGUUGUCUGCUCUGGCUUCUCCUACGACAUGGAGGUAGUGUCCCAUGGCUUCGUCACCGACAUCUCUAAGACCGACGCGGAGAACGAAGAGAGGCUCCAUGCCUUGAUUGAUGACGCGGAGGCUCCUGGAGAGAGGCUGGCCAAGUUAUUUGAGCCUGAGGUGCUUCUUCCUGAGACUAGCUCGGGCGGAGGCGAGGGUGGUGAGGAUCGUGCCAUGGACUGAGGCCUGCGAGCCUGCUCAGGGUGCCUGGGGCCCCUUGUAUAAUACUUUAUUAAUUCUGUUUUUGAGCGAUACAGUAACUUUUGGUAAUUGUUAAAUGUUUAUUUGUCUUUCCGCUCGAGGUUCUUUUAUUUCUCUUUGUGCCAACGUAUGUGUUCCUUGUUCGAUUUUUCGUAAAAGACAGCUUCGAUUACCUCGAGGGUGAGGGAGUGAGUAGAGUUUCCAUAGCCCGGGGGCAUAGGAGUUCCCAGGCUCGUUAUCCCUCGGCCCCUAAGGGGUUCGAGGCGCCUUAACUACUUGAUCAUGCAAGGUUUACUAAGUAAGAGAUAAAUUUUUGGCUUUUUUCGACACUUGGGGGGGUCGCCCCCCUGGUAGCCCCCGAGGGGGUGUUGACUAUGAUGGGUCAUAGUCGGCGCCCCCUUCUAACGUCGAGAUUAUGACUUGUAAAGCCUUGGUACAAAAAGAAGUUGCUCGAGGGAAAGACUUCAUCUAUUCAUACAUUCGUUUACAAAGUCUCGGUACAAAAUAUACGUAGGAACAUAAAGUUUUGAACUUCUAGGGGUAGAAUCGACGUAGCUGUUCGAUGUUCCACGCGUUGGUGAAGACCGCCCCCUUCUCAUCCGCUAACUUGUACGUUCCCGGCUUUAAAACCUCGGCCACCACGUAUGGGCCUUCCCAAGGCGGAGUCAGCUUGUGGCGUCCUUGAUUGCUUUGCCGUCAUCGCAGAACAAGGUCGCCCACGUUUAAGUCCCUCUUGUGCACGUGCUUGUCGUGGUAACGUCGAAGUUUUUGCUGAUAUCUGGCAGAGUUGAGGAGGGCCAUGUCUCGAGCCUCCUCGAGUUGGUCGACCGCGUUUUCUUGAGUCUCCUUAUUUGAUUGCUCAUUGUACGCUUUGAGUCGAGGGGACCCAUACUCGAGGUCUGUGGGGAGGACAGCCUCAGAGCCGUAUACCAUGAAGAAUGGGGUGAAUUUUGUGGCCCUGCUCGGUGUUGUCCUUAGGCUCCAAAGGACCGAGGAAAGUUCCUCGACCCAUUUCUUUCCGAAUUUCUUCAAGUGAUUGUAGAUCCUUGGUUUGAGUCCUUGUAGAAUCAUGCCGUUGGCACGCUCGACCUGGCCGUUAGUUCGAGGGUGGGCUACUGCCGACCAGUUCACACGGAUGUGAUGCUGAUCGCAGAAGUCCAAGAACUUUUUGCCGGUGAACUGAGUGCCGUUGUCGGUGAUGAUGACGUUGGGAAUCCCAAACCGGUGGAUGAUGUUGGUGAAGAAAAGGACGGCCUGCUCGGAGCGGAUGUUGGCGAUGGGUCGAGCCUCGAUCCACUUGGAGAAUUUGUCGAUAGCCACCAGCAAGUGGGUGUACCCUCCUUUCGCCUUUUGUAGGGGCCCUACUAAGUCGAGCCCCCAUACCGCAAAUGGCCAUGUAAUGGGGAUCAUCUGAAGAGCAUGGGCGGGCAAGUGCGUCUGUUUGGCGUAGAACUGGCACCCGUGACAUGAGCGCAUGAGCUCGAUGGCAUCUGCUAUGGCCGUUGGCCAGUAGAAGCCUUGUCGAAAAGCGUUCCCUACGAGGGUCCGUGGAGCAGCGUGGUGGCCGUAAGACCCUGAGUGUAGGUCCUCGUGGAGUUUCCGCCCUUCUUCCAUGGUGAUGCAACGCUGCAAGACACCCGUCGGGCUUCGUCGGUAUAGCUCAUUGCCUUCGCCGUAUAUCACAUAUGACUUGGCCCGUCGAGCGAUACGACGGGCUUCAGAUCGAUCUUCUGGCAGCUCGCAGCGGAUUAGGUAGUCGAGGAACGGUGUGCGCCAGUAGAACGGUCGAUUGGGCCGCCGUUCUACCUCCAUCACCUCAGCUGCCAUCAAUAGUGCGUUGACGGUGUCGGUUGGCUGGGCGGAAGCGGCAUCAAUGCCAGCCCCCGAGCCCAAGUCGACGGAUGGCUCGUGAAGAUCUCUUGAGAACGCGUCGGGCGGUACCGUGCCUCGGGUCGACGCGAUCUUGGUGAGUUCGUCGGCUGCUUUGUUGUAGCAUCGGGCGACAAGGACGAGCUCGAGGCCAUGGAAUUUGUCCUCGAGUCGACGGACUUCUUUGCAGUACGCCUCCAUUUUCGGGUCGUGGCAGCUUGAGGUCUUCAUUACUUGAUCGAUGACGAGUUGGGAGUCGCCUCGGACGUCAAGGCGUCGGACUCCUAGCUCGAUGGCGAUCUUGAGACCGUUGAUGAGGGCCUCGUAUUCUGCAACAUUGUUGGAUGCAGCAAAGUGAAUCCUGAUGACGUACCUCAUAUGGACGCCCAAGGGCGAAAUGAACAGCAGGCUGGCCCCGGCCCCCGUUUUCAUGAGUAACCCGUCGAAAUACAUCAUCCACAGCUCCGCCUGGACCUGAGUCGGGGGAGCUGGGAGUCUGUCCAUUCCGCGACGAAGUCUACCAGGGCUUGCGAUUUGAUGGCCUUGCGAGGCGCAUAGGUGAGAGUCUCACUCAUAAGCUCGACCGACCAUUUAGCUAUUCUUCCCGUGGCCUCCUUACUCUGGAUUAUCUCGCCCAGGAGGAAAGACGAGACCACCGUGAUGGGGUGACCGAGGAAGUAGUGUUGUAGCUUGCGGCGUGCGAGGAUUACAGCAUAGAUCAGCUUCUGAAUUUGGGGGUAACGUGCCUUGGUCUCCGAGAGUACCUCGCUGACGAAAUAGACCGGCCUCUGGACUGGCAAUGCAUGCCCCUCCUCCUGCCUUUCAACCACCACCGCCGCACUGACAACCUAGGUCGUCAAAGCAACGUAAAGGAGCAGUGGUUCCGCAGGCUGAGGUGGGACCAGGACUGGUGCUGAGGUUAGCGUUUUCUUCAGACUUUCGAGGGCUUCCUCGGCCUCGGGGGUCCAAGAGAAACGCUCGACCUUCUUUAGAAGUCGAUACAAUGGCAACGCCUUUUCUCCUAGUCUUGAGAUAAAUCGACUCAACGCUGCUAGACAUCCGGUGACUCUCUGCAUGCCCUUGAUGUCCCGAAUCGGCCCCAUUCUUGUGAUGGCCGCGACUUUCUUGGGGUUGACCUCGAUCCCGCGCUGGGAAAUGAUGUACCCUAGGAGCAUGCCUCAAGGCACGCCGAAAAUGCAUUUCUCGGGAUUGAGCUUGAUCUGGUUGGCCCGUAAGCAGCUAAAAGCGAUCUCGAGGUCCUGGAUCAGGUCUCCUCGCCGUUUUGAUUUGACGACAAUGUCGUCGACAUAGGCCUCGACCGUCGAGCCUAUGUGCUUGCCAAACACGUGGAGCAUACAGCGCUGGUAUGUGGCUCCCGCGUUUCGAAGCCCGAAUGGCAUGGUUACAUAGCAAUACAGCCCAAAAGGUGUGAUGAAAGAGGUCGCGAGCUGGUCGGACUCUUUCAUUUUUAUUUGAUGGUAACCAGAAUAUGCAUCAAGGAAAGAAAGGGUUUCACAUCCCGCAUUAGAAUCGACAAUCUGAUCAAUACGUGGUAAUGGAAAAGGAACUUUCGGACAUGCUUUAUUUAGACUUGUAUAAUCGACACACAUCCUCAUUUUCCCAUUCUUUUUCUUAACUAAUACAGGGUUUGCUAACCAGUCGGGAUGAUGAACCUCCUUGAUGAAUCCAGCCGUCAAAAGCUUGUGGAUUUCCUCGCCAAUGAUCUUGUGCUUCUCCUCGUCGAAUCGGCGCAACCGCUGCUUCACUGGCUUGAAACCGGGUCGAAUCUCCAAGGAGUGCUCGGCGACUUCCCUCGGUAUGCCUGGCAUGUCCGAGCGACUCCAUGCGAACAUGUCGGCGUUCGCACGGAGAAAGUCGACGAGCACAGCUUCCUAUUUGGGGUCGAGAUUGGCGCUGAUCGUCAGCACCUUGCCGUCGGAGUCGUUGGGGUCGAGCGGGAUCUUCUUGGUUCCUUCUGCCGCCUCGAAGUUGCCCGCGUGGCGCUUGGGCUCUGGAGCCUCAGCGGCCAGGGCUUCGAGCUUUGCGAUGAGCUCGGUGGAGUUAUCGACCGCCUCCCCAUACUAGACGCACUCGAUGUCGCACUCGUAUGCAUGCUCGAAGGAGGAGCUGAUAGUGAUGACGCCUUUGGGGCCUGGCAUCUUCAGCUUCAAGUAGGUGUAGUUGGGUAUAGCCAUGAAUUUGGCGUAGCCCGGGCGCCCGAUGAUGGCGUGGUACGUGCCCCAGAACCCGACCACCUCAAAGGUGAGGGUCUCCUUCCUAAAGUUGGCUGCCAUGCCAAAGCAGACCGGUAGGUCGAUCCGACCUACUGGCAGCGCCUUUUUCCCCGGCACGACGCCGUGGAAACCACCGGCGCUUGGUUGAAGCCGUCCCCUAUCGAUGCCGAGGAGGUCGAGUGUCUCAAGGUAGAUGAUGUUGAGGCUGUUGCCUCCAUCCAUUAGCACCUUUGAGAGCCGGGUGUUGACGAUGAUGGGGUCGACGACGAGCGGGUAGACGCCUGGGGCAAUCACCUUGUCGGGGUGGUCCUCUCGGUCGAAGGUGAUGGGUGUGCUCGACCAGCUGAGGUACUGGGGCACCGCCAUUCUCGCCGCGAAGACCUCACGACGUUCCUUUUUGCGCUGCCUCGUGAUCAACUGUGUCGAGGGCCCACCAUAGAUCAUGUAGCAAUCGUGGACGGCAGGGAAACCAUCGUCGUCAUUGCUGCCCUCCUUGUCGCCGCCCUUCUCCUUCUUGGGGUCGUCGCGCGUGUCCUUUCUGAACCCCAGGCCAUCGAAAUGCUUUUUCAGCAUACGACAGUCCUUGAGCCUGUGGUUGGCUCCUCCUUUAUGGUAAGGGCAUGGUUCCUCUAGCAUCUUAUCGAAGAUACCUCCAUCUGGGAGACCUCGAGGCUUCUUCCGCUCCAUGGCGGCGACAAGGUCGUCGUCGAAGUUCUCCUGCUUGAACUGCCGCGCUUUCUGCUUCUUCUUGUUCUUCUUGGGCCCUCGACGGGGGGGCUCGUCUUCAUCGGUAGGUUGCUUGCCUUUCCUUCCCUCACAACUGAAGAAGGCGCCGACUGCCUCCUCCCCUGCUGCGUAGUUUGCCACUACGUCCAUUAGCUCAUCGACGGUCUGAGGGCGAUUCCGGCCCAAUUCUCGUACCAGGUCUCGACUGGUGGUACCAGAGACGAAGGCCAGGAUGACGUCAUGGUCGGGGAUAUGUGGCAACUCGGUGCGCUGCUUUGAGAAGCGUCGAGCAUACUCUCGAAGAGUUUCUCCUGACUUCUACUUGCAUUUGCUGAGGUCCCACGAGUUCCCGGGCCGUAUGUAGGUCCCUUUGAAAUUACCCUCGAAGACUUUAACCAAAUCGACCCAGUCGUGGAUCUGAUUCGCUGGAAGUUCCUCGAGCCAUCGACGGGCGGUGUCGGAGAGGAACAGUGGUAGCUGUCUGAUGAUGGCUCGAUCAUCUCCUCGAGCGCCUCCUAGCUGACAGGCCAGCCUGAAAUCGGCCAGCCAUAACUCUGGUUUGGUCUCGCCAUUGUAUUUCGCGAUGUUGGUCGAGGGUCGGAAUGGACUAGGCAGGGGUGUGCUGCGGAUUGCCCUGCUGAACACCCGUGGACCUGGUGGCUCGGGAGCCACCCGGUCGUCGUCGCUGUCGUACCUUCCACCGCGAUGUGCGCUAUAACCGCGUUCUUCCGCAUCCCCGUACCGACGGCGUCGAUUUUCUUUGAUGUCAUGCCGUGCGUCGUGUCGACGCUGAUUGUCGACAGGGAGGGCGAGAGUGGUCUUUCUUCCUCGAGGGGGUGGUUGUUGAUGGACUGACACCUCCUUUUCAUUUUGGGGCGGCUCAUCAUGCUUUUCAGUUGCAGCUCCUCAUCGUCGAGAAGCCGAGCUUUCAGCUUGUUGAACCGCCGCUACCUGGAGCAGAGUCUGUACCUCGUCUCGAAUGCGUCGAGCUUGGGAGUUCGAUGGCUCCGGCAUGUUGCACAGUAGCAUUGUCGCCGCCACUACAUUCUAGCCUGCUCAAGGGAAACGGCUGAGAGGCUGCUCUGGUUCUGCGUCUCCGACGAUUUGUCGAUGUACCUCUCGAGCGAGUCUGCGGACACUUCCGCCCGGCGGGUAGGGCAGGUCUUGCUCAAGGAUUUGCUCGAGCAGGACGAGGCGCUCACGGUCUUCGUCAAGCUUCAUCUUGAGCUCCCGUAGCUGUGCAAGCUGCGCAGCCCUGUCUUCCUGUGGAGGGGGGUCGACCUGUCCGUCGUUCCCAGGCGUCCUGGGGUCUUCCCGUGCUGCAGGGGCUCGACCGCCCGCAGCAGCAUCCUGCGUCUCGUCUGUAGUUUCUACUGCCCCGUCGACGUGAUAGCAUUCCCUUGUAGGGUCGUAGCUAUCAGUCUCGGAGUCGGAGUCCGGCUCGGCAGCGUAGAAACAUCCACGUCCCUCUUCCAGCAGCCGCUGCCUGAGUGAGGUGAUCGUGUAUCGCCCAGGGCCUAGGCGGCGGAGGCCUCGCACCUGAGAGAAAUCCGACAGUUCGGACGUCGGUCGUAGUGCUUCAGAGUCACGUGGGAGGACCAUUGGUCUCUCCACGUACGUCUGGGCGUUUGGGCAUAUUGCUCUGGUGAGCGACGCCAUGACGUUGUCCAAUCCGAAUGGCAGUGCCCUUCUUGGAGUGAACAACCCGUGUGGAAGCAGCUUAGCAGCGGUGGGGGAGGGCGCGCGAGACACGUCCCCUCCCGUCGUCGUGCGGUGUUGAGCCGUCGUGCCCGCGGUUCCGGCACAUGGUGCUGCCGGCACAUGGCCCACCUCCUGCCUCGCACGAGUUGCCGGUCGUGAUGAGGCAGAGGGGCGGCGGUGGUGCUGUCCGCGCCUCUUCUUGGGCGGGGAGGCGUGGUGGCGAGGGCGUCUCGGGGCCCUCGACCGUGCUGGUGCAACGCGGGCUCCUCCUAGAUCUUUGACUGAGAGCAAGAUCAUGUCGUAGCCGGAGCCCGUGGACAUGAACUCGAGACUCCCAAACCAAAUCAUCGUGGAGUGCGGAAUCGGCGAGGCGAGAGUAGCCAUCUGGGAAGGAGUGGGAAAUCGAUGAAAAAACACGCAGGGCCCCUACCUGGCGCGCCAACUGUCGGUGUUUUCCCCCCGGGAGGUCACACCAACAAGUAAAUUUGUAUGCAUGCUCCCGUUCCCAGAUAGUGAUGCAAGAAGACACAAAGAUUUAUCCUGGUUUGGGCAAGAGAAAGCCCUACGUCCAGCGGGGGAAGUUUGUAUUAUCUUACACCGAAGUGCUUGUACAGGGGCGAAUACAAGCGUGGUAUGAAGUAUGGGAGUUCUACUGCGUAUGGGCGUGGUGUUGCCUCACGUGUUGUUGUCUAUCUAUUCCUGAGUCCUUCCUUUUAUAGCACCAAGGAGAGACCCAGGGUACAUGUAUAGGUGUCAGAGUAGGGGUCGAUAGAAGCAUGGAGCGCUGACCUACUCGAGGCUUCCGUACCGGCGUAGCCUCGAGCCGUCCCAUCUUGGUAGCCUGGUAAUGAUUACGCGUGCCCCUGCAUCCUGCUAUGCGCGCCGUCUUGGGCUGGUUCAACGGUCGCACGCUUGUACGGCAUGGCGGCAGAUCCGGCAAGGUGGUUGUGGUGUUGUCAGUCGACGCCCAACUCGUCUUCAGGAAGGAACCGUGUGUGGUCGAGGGUCGGACGUCGUGCAAUGCCCUAUUACCCGGAGCGCUGACCUUGGUUGCCUCAAGGGAGUACCGAUUGGACGUUCCAUCCCUAUUUCCCGCGUCCUGACACGCCCUGGGCCGUUUGGUGGGCAAGGCUGCAAAAAGAACGACGGGACGGGUGCCUGUUAUCACGCCUCCCGUGACCAGUGUGUUAGGUGGGAAUGCGGCGGGCGCGUUAAAUGUCCUGGCUCUCGUGCGCGCGUCAGGCGGCGGACAGUGUCCUUGCGCUCGAUGCUCCUUGAUUUGCUCAGGCCUGUUUCCGUAUUCGACGAUAGCUGGUGCUCGACCCUUGAUCGAUUCGCUCGAUGCUAUUUCCGUCUUCGAGGCUGCGGCCGUCGAUGGCUGCGCAUAUGUAUGACUAGAGCGUCGAGUUGAUGGCCUCGACCUGCGUACGGAUAAUCUCGUUAUGUGCAUCGGUGAGGGUACCCCCUAUUGAUACCCUCGAUAAAUGCCAUCUUCUCCACAAGAGUUGUAGCUUGUGAUAUGGUGAGUGAUAGGAAUGCUCCUCCAGCUGCAGCAUCCAUGGUUUCUCGGGCACUGUUGCCGAGCCCAUGAUAAAACGUCUACAUUAGUAGCCAGCUCUCCAUUCCAUGAUGGGGACAUUCUAGGAUGUAGUCUUCAAAGUGCUCCCAUGCUCCUAGAAUAGAUUCAUUAUGUUGUUGCUGAAAACUUGUAAUUUUCCCACGGAGAGCAUUGGUCUUGUGUAUGGGAAAGAACUUAGCUAGAAAGUUCGUGAAGAAGAGUGCCCACAUAGUAUUCUUCUCCUUUGUAGCGUAGAACCACUGCUUCGCUCUUCCUAAGAGUGAGAAUGGGAAGAGGCGAAGUAGUAUAGCAUCUCUGGGGACUCCUGAUAUGGUGAAUGUGUUGCAAAUCUCCAGGAAGUGUUGGAGAUGAGCACUAGCAUCUUCGUGUGCCUUCCCACAGAACUGGUUGGAUUGCACCAUGUUGAUAAGACUAGGCUUGAGCUCAAAGUUGCCAUCGGUCUCAGCAGCAGGUCCAGUACGGAUGUUAUCCGUAGUGGGAGCUGAGAACUCGCGGAUCGAUUUGUUCGCCAUGACUUUGAACUCUGAAGACAAGUUUCGGGUGAAACUUCAGUGAUCUUCUUGAUUGGAUGAAGCUUCUUGCUGAAGUGUUGAUGAUCUCUUCUUGAGCUUGGCUCUUGUUUUUCUAAAUAACACUUCGGGAUUGUCAACAAAAUUUCCUGGAAGAUGUCUUCUAUUCAUACAUUACCCUGCAUAAGAUAAAAUGCUUGUUGGGAAUUCUAAAUAAAAAGUAGACUUAGUUUUCUAAUUCUGAUAAUGGCGCCAAAAAUGCCAAACCUAUCCCUCAUGCCGACCUAAAGGAUCAAGGAUAACCGUUCAAUCAUUGUCGGUUUGAUCCGAUGGCCCAGAUUCACUUGAAGGGACUAUAUAAGCAGACCCCCUGGCCCCUGGAGGAGAGAAUUUCAUCAUAGAGUUGAGAGGAGCCCUCGAAGGAAUACCUCUCCUCUAAAUAGACUUAGGGCUUAGCAUCCAAUUCGAGUAGAAUUAGAUCUUCUAGUUUCUACUAGAUUGAGAGAGAUAGAGUGGAGGUGUAGAUCGGAGGAAGCCCGGCCUAUCGGUGUCUACUCCGAGGUUGUACCUGCGGGAUCAAGUUCUCCUAACCCGAAGCUUGCUCUUAGGAUUCUUCAGUAUUUUGACUUGUAAUACUAGUAAGUUCUUGUUUUAUUGUUCUUUGGUUUAUGAGUUUACUUUAAUCUCUUCGCAUAGAGUUUAGAGUAAUCAUCUCUAGCGUAGACGUGGUGUUUGGGCUAGAAUACUCAUAGAUAUUCCCUGACUAGCUGGACCGUGGUAGUAAUGAGGAACGUGACAUUUCCGAGUUACCUUUGCAGACCAUAUCUCGUUAGCAGGAAGGAUAGGGUUUAUAGGUGCGGGUUGAACAUCCUUUGUUGUGUCUAGAUUCCGUAAGCUUCCCCAAUAGAACAGUAGAUCAUCCUUACCAAGGUUAGAACGAGAUUACGAUUGUAGUCUUCUCUAUACAUCGCUCACAUCGAGAAACAUUCUUUGUAGCCUAAAGGGUAGUAGCAAUAGAUUUGGUUAUUCAGAUGCACGCUUUCUCCCAGUGGUAAAAAUAUAAAUACGAUACUCUGGAUAACCUCCCAGGUGAAGUGCUCACCGAUAUCCGUGCGCUUGCGGAUCAUUUCCUGAUGGCGUUACCAAAUAUCAACAAGCAUUUCUGGCGCCGUUGCCAGGGAGAAAGACGGUUUGCUGAGAUAACUUUAUGUCUUGCUAUUAUCUUGUAUUAUACUUUUAUAUUUUUAUUCUUUUAUCUUUUUAUUUUUUCCAUCUUUGUGGAUAACUUAAAUUCCACACCUAUUAUUGAAUUUUUUGCACCUUCGGAGACCAGCCAUAGACCAUGGGAGUCAACAAGUCCUUUCUUUGCCCCUACUUAUGAUCGGUGUCCGGAGUUGAUUGCAAUAGGUCUAAACCAACCCUUUUUUAUAGCUGAGGUCCUAUCUUUUAAUCAAGAAGAUAAUGAACUUUUAGCUACACCUAGGGAAUCUGUUAAUCUUUCUAUAAAUUCUGGUUUAAACCUAGGCCUACAAGACCAUGUUUUUUCUCAAUAUUUUCACAUUGGUCUUAAUCAUCUAACCUUUGGUAGAGUUUUUCUUUCUUUAUCUGUUAGUAAAGCAAGGUAUGUCUUCAUUCGUGGACAUCCUUCUUACACUAGUCUUCAUAAAAAAUUCCUAGAGAUAGAGAAGGAAUCAUCUCCCAGACAAGGAAAGGAAGUUUCAAUAUCCGAUUUCCAAACAUUUCAAUCCCAUGAUUCGGCUAUCCAACCCAUCCUUGAGCUUAAUAAUUUCUACUUUGCUCUUUCUCUUGAACCUCCCGAUGAUCCUAUGAAUCUCUCUAGCCAUCCCAUGCAUAAGAGUCACCAAGACCACAAGGAGGAUCGAGAAGAGCAACAUCAAUGGCUAGAGGGCAUUAAAAAUCCAUGUGCUAUCACCAUUGAAUGGAUAGAUAAAACAAACUUGAGAGACAAUCCUAGAGGAAUUUUAAGCAUUCAUGAAGAAUCAUCCUUGGAGUUUGAGAAUGAGAGAAACAACAGUGAGCAUGGAAGUUAUUUCAUAAAUACCUCACCAAGUCCUUGCUCAUAUAAAACAUCUCCCCAAUCAAUUGGUCUCUCCAACCUUACCACAUUUGAGAUCUCCAACCCCCUCUUCCUUUCUAUUUAUAAAAACUUUAAAAGGGCAGUUGUCGAUGCAUAUGUCUAUAAUAAAUAUUGUAGAUCUCGUUGAGUUGAUCUUGAUAUAGGUCAGCGUUGGAGGGGAAACCACGUCGCCGACAUAAUUUGAUGGUUUCCCAAGGACAAGCUUAGUGUCCUAAAACAAGCACUUAUCAGAUCAUAACAUGAACUUUUAAUUAUUUGCAACAUUGCCUUGUGCAUUGAGCAUAUAAAGAUAAUUGUAAAAAUAUUUCUUCGGGUAUUCUUGUCACUAACCUUUCCAGGAUUGGAGAAAGAAGUUCAGAUGAAUGACAAGCACAAGGUAUGUCCAACCAAUCAUCAUACAACAUUGAAUUAAAUUCAGCCAAACUUGAAUUUCGCAAAAUUCAAGCUUGGAGAAGUACUUUACAUAAAAACAUCAUUUGCCAUGUUGCUAUGUUGGUUGUCCCUACCUUUGAGACAUGCUCAAUUGAUUAAAUACUAAUCACACUACUUCAUCUCCACUUGAGUAGAUCUCUAUAAAUGCUCUCAUGCUACAUUUAUUUGCUUUAGUAUAUGUCUAGGUUUGGAGUAGUUUCAUUUAUCUCUUAAUUAAGCAUGGUGCUUAGGUUAAAAUGUCCUCCUAAAUCAAAUUAGACAUGGUGUCUAGGUUGAUUUUUGAGCCGAUAGUAUGCUAUAGUAGAUAUGAGAUAUUUUGUUGGACUAACCCCUCUGAAAGGUCCUUGUUUGGUUUUGGUAAUUGAGUGACAACUUAGGUGGACUAAUAGUGUUUAUGUGAGAUAAACAGGAGAUUAGUCCACAGGUGAUUAUGUGAUGAUGAAGGAGCUCAUUGCAUAUGAGACAUGACAUGGAGUCAUGUGACCAAGGUGGAGAAGAUCAAGAUGAGGCUUGGCUCGACGGACUGUUUACAAGAGUGAAGGGCAAGUCGGAGGCUUUGAAGCGAGGGACCGUGUGUGACGGUGAAGCUUGAGCAAGACUUGGCACCGAUGGACCAAGGCAAUGGAGAAGAGCAAGUGAGGUCAAAAUCGAUGAACCAAUACGGUCACGUGAUGAUAUGAAUUGGAUCAUAUCAUUUGGUGAUUGGUUGGCGCAUGUGUUGCGUCAACAUUGGAGGAGAUGGAAUGGAAUGCGCAAGGCAAAGGUAUAACCUAUAGGGCAUUUCAUUUCACCGGUCUAAGUUAAGUAGAGAAGUGCUUGACCGGAUUUAGGAUAGAUAACCGUACUAUAAAGAGGGGAAAUCUUUAAUUGCAAUGGUUAUCUAGUGCCACUAAGUGUGAAGUCUCAUUUGCAUAUACCUAGCGCUUAGUGACGUGGUGAGUUGCAUGAGAAAGCCUAUAAAAAUGAUUGUGAAAUGCUAACACACAUGCACAUGGUGGUGUACACUUGGUGGUGUUGGCACAUUUGCAAAGGAGAAGGUGUUGGAGUUGAUUUUGAUCAACUUGGAGAAGAGAGAGAGGCUUUUCGGUGUUCUCCGGACAUUAGGAUGGCUUUUAGAUUGAAAUACUGCUUUGAUUCAUUAUGAUUUGGAUUGAGUAUCCAUAUGGAUUGUAUAGCCCUCUGAGUAAGCUUUCCGAAAUGUCCAAGAUCAUCGAAUUCGGAGUUCGGAGCUAAAAGUUAGCAUCCUAACAAGUUUUGAGUUGGUGCUGAGAAUGCAGGACCGGAAGUUCCGGUGGGACUUCCGGUGGUACUUCCGGUAACUGACCGGAAGUUCCGGUCAGCCUGACAGGAAGUUCCGGUUGGGCUGUGAGAGGUGCGCUCGCGUUUGAGAAAACACUUCCGGUGUCUGACCAGAAGUUCCGGUCAAUGACCAGAAGUUCCGGUCCAUAACGGGAAGUUCCGAUCCAUGAACGAAAGACCGCUGAGGAGCCUUUGCACAUGCCCUCGCGCAUCAGGAUUCACUUCCGGUGUUUGACCUUAAGCUCCAAUGGAACUUCCGGUGGGUCCGAGUCUCUCACAACGGUCAAAUCUGGUUGGCCACAACGGUCAGAUCUGCUUGGACCGAGGCUCCAACGGUCAAAUCUGGUCGGACCGGAAGUUCCGGUCCCAAGCACCGGAACUUCCGGUGGUACUCUAUAAAUACCGUUUGGAGCGCGAGCUGAGUAGAUGAGGGAGCCUUUUUAUUCUUCCUACUCUUCUCUCUACCCAUUUGGAACACAAGGAAGUUAGGGUUCCUCCUCUCCUCUUUCUCUCCCAUGGAUUUGAGCUAAGAUUUCUUGGAGAGAUUGAGAGCCCUUUGUGGGUGUGGAUGAGAGGUUGAAGAUCCACCCUUUCCCCCUCCUCUCCCUCUCAUGCUUGGUGCUAUUUUGAGUGAGGGAGUGAGAGCCUAGUGUGUGCAUUUGAGUUUUGCAUUUGGUGGCACUAGGAAAUCUUUAUGGUUGGGGAUUUCUUGUUACUCUUGGUGAUUGCCAUCACCUAGACGGUUUGGUGGAUUGUGACUCCGUUUGAAGCACGCAAGAAGAUUGUGCGGUGCUCCGGAGGAGGUUUUGUGAGGGGUACGGUGCUCAGCCCGCGGGGAUCGCAAAGAGCAACUCUAUUGGAUUGUGCGUGUCAUUGAGCUACCUCACUUGUGGGUAGGUUCUUGCGGUGUCCUAGUGAGGACGAGGUUCGUGUAACACCUCUUAGCCGCCGAACCACCAAGUGUUGGUCGACACAACGGGGACGUAGCUUGGUGGCAACCAAGUGAACCUCGGGAGAAAAUCAUCAUGUCAACUUUGUUCUUCCCGUUGGUUUGCAAGUCCCUAACACAAGCUUGUAUUUACUUUCAUAUUUUUGUGCUUGUGUAGUUGCUCAUGUAAUUAGUUAGCUUGUGUAGCUUGCUAGUUACCUUCUUGCUUGUGUAGCUAGAAGUAGUUCCCUUGCGUGACUAAUUUGGUUUGUGUAACCUUGUUAGUCACAUUGCUUAGUUUGUGUAGCUAAGUAAUUUGCGCUCUCUAAUUUUGCAUUGGUUGCCUUGUUUUUGAGCUUGCUAGUGAGCUUAGGCUUUGUGCGCUUUGCCUCACUAGUUUGUGUAGGAGCUCCCCCGGUUUGCAAAGUACUAGUUGCAUAGGUUUGUGUGACCUUGCUCCUAGAAUUGAUUAGGUGAGCUCUUGCUAAGGUAGCACCUUGCUUGCUUGUUUAGGAUAUUUUCAAGGUGCUAGAGAACUUAGAUAGAGGGGUGUAGUCUUGGCUAGACUGAUAGUUUUUAAUUCCGCAUUUGUUUCGGUUAGCCGGCGCGAUAAGUUUUAGAAAGGACUAUUCACCCCCCUCUAGUCUGCCAUCUCGACCCUUCAAGUGGUAUUAGAGCUAGGUCUCUCAUUUGUGGUCUUCACCGACCCGAGAGGAUGGCGUCUAGUGGGAUAGAUGAUUGUGAGACACACAUUUUUGAUGGUACAAACUUUGCACUUUGGAAAAAUCACAUGCUUGAUCAUUUUCGUGCAAAAGGACCUAAAUUUUGGUGGGUUAUCACUAAUGGUCUUACACACAACUUGGACCAUAAGAAUCUCACCAAAGCUCAAAAGGUUCUCUUUGAACUUGAUUGUGAAGCUUAUGAUUAUCUAAUAGAAUCUUUGAGCUUUGAGUUGUUUGAUAGUAUAAACUCUAAAGGAACCGCUUAUGAAAUGUGGGAGUCUAUCAAACACACCUUCGGUGAUUUCUCCACAUGGGAUGAUGGCAAGUUCAAAAGGGAGGAACCAAAGGUGGAGAUACAUGAGGUUGUUGAGCAUGAUGACAACAUGGUGGUUGUGGAGGAUUGCUCCACCUCAUGGUCAAGUGAUCGUGAUGAUGAUGCUACCAUAAGAUCACUUGACAAGGACGAUGAUGACGCCACAAGUGAUGCAACCGAUGAUGCUACUCCAUGCACACUUGAUGGUGAAGAUGAUGGCUAUGAGAGUGAUGCUUCCACAAGCUCAUCUACUACAUCACCACAUUGCUUCAUGUCACAUGGUGACACUAAGGUAUCUAUUGGUGAUGUGAUUAUUGAUUAUGAUGGUCCAAAUUUUGAGCUUGUAUGCAAACUCUCAAAAGCUUUAAGAAAUGAGUUGGCAAAAACAAGUAAAUUGAAAUUUGAAAACUCAUUUCUAAAGACCGCAUGUGAACAACAAAAAUAUCUACUUUAUGUUACUAAUUGUUCACAUGAGGAGCUAAAAUUGGCUCAUGAGGAACUUUGUGUUGCUCAUGAAAACUUGGUACAAGACCAUGCUUUACUCACUAUGAAGCUUUCUAAUGAAGAAACUAAAACUAGUGAGAGCUCAUCAUUUGGGUCAAAUGAUCAAUCACAUAUUGUUACUAACCCUUGUGAUGUAGGCAAGAAGUAUGUAUCCACCUCUUGUGAUGAUUUAUUAUCUAUGCCAUGUUCUUCACAAUUAGAUACUUGUUCUACUUCUAUGUCUUGUGAGACUAACCUUUUGAAGGAGAACAAUGAGCUCAAAAAUGAAGUGAAGAAUUUGAGCAACAAGUUAGAGAGGUGCUACUAUUCAAAAGUCACCUUUGAGCAUAUAUUGAAGACUCAAAGAAAUUAUGGUAAUAAAUGUGGCCUUGGCUUCAAGAAGAAAAUGACAAAGGGCGAAAGAAAGCAAGAAAAGAGGAUGAAGAAGCUACUUCAAAAGAAGCUUUCUCACACCAUGUGCUAUCGCUGUCAUGAAGCAGGACACCUUGCAAAUGGUUGCCCAAACAAAGAGAAGCUCAAGAAAAUGAAAGAAGAAGAGAGGCUCAAGCAUGUCAAGUGCUUCAAGUGCCGCACUUGGGGUCAUCUCACCUCAAUGUGCCCAAGUAAGCAAUUGGUGAAGCAACAAGAAGAGCCUCAACCUAAGCCACAAGUUGAGCAAGAAAAGACACCCCAAGCUCAAGUCAAGAUCUACCAUGAUGGUAAUGACUUGAUUAUGAAGAAGAAGAAGACAAGAAGGGGUGGAAGAGCAAGGCAUCCAAUACAAAUCCAAGAUGCCAAGAUGAUGAGCAAGAAUGAAGACAAGAAGAAAGCUUAUGCUCACAUCAUGUGUUUUGAGUGCAAGAAUGAUGGACAUUUUGCCUCGAAGUGUCCUACCAAGCUCAAGAAGAAGGCUCAAGCAACUCUCAAGAGGCAAGGCAAUAAGAAGCAACACAUGAGCAAGGAAGAAAAGGCUCAAUCAAGGAGAAGUUGCUACUUAUGCCGGAAAAGGGGACACAUGGCUCAUUCAUGUCCCCUAGUUAAUAAUUCUAAGCCAAUUUCAAUUGAUAAUCAUAAUAUGCUUAGAAAGGAUGAUGAUGGUACCUCUAUGGUUGCCAUUGCAAAACAUCCCGCUACUCAUACUAAGGCUAUGCCUAAGUAUGUUGCUCCUAACUUGAGAGGACCCAAACUAGUUUGGGUACCAUCAAAAAGUGGAUGAAUGUGUGUAGGUACCAUCUGCAUUGGAGGCUUGAUUCAAUUGAUAUUAUAUUAUUCAUCAUAUGAUUGAAUCAAGUAUUGAAGCUUAUUACAUAUCCUAUCCCAAUGCCAUGACAAGAUUAGUGAAGUCCAAAUAUGCUAUAACAUACAAGUGCAAAUAUUCAAGUUGUGGUAUUUUAUUGGAUCAUUUGAUGGCUUGCAAAUACAUGAGUUUAAGCUUGCAAAUUAGAUGAUCAUGAGCUAAGCAAUGUAUAUCUUUGCUGAUCACAUUCAUUUGGUUGCAUAUGAGUUGAUUGAAUUGGAUAUAUAUGCAAUGUUGCUUGCUAUAAGGUGUUUGAAUGGGUAAAUGCUUAGUAAUCAAGUUUGGAUUGAUUUGAGUUGAAUAAGUUCAUAAGAUGACACUUAGUAAGUGGAUUGAAUGGAUUUAUGUCUUGUGAAAGUAUUCAAACGAGUCUAUUUCAAGUUUGAUUCAAUUUUGAGAAGUAUAGCUCAACUGCUUGAAAUCUGUCCAAUAUUGAGAAUCUGAGCUAGCUGGGAUCAAGUCUGCGUUUGAGUGAUCAAAUCUUAUUGGAAUGGCUUGAAAUUUGGUAUGCAUGCUGUGAACUUAUCAUAGAAGAUGCUGUAGAAAUUUCAUGAGAAUUGGAUAAGCGAUACUUCGGUUUUAUAGUAGAUCUUAUCAGCUAUACUGCAGCAGUUUUCAGCAUAUAGCAGUGGUGGAAGAAUUGAAAUUUGGUAGCAAUCUAGAAGUCAAAAGAAGAUCAAAUUUUUACAGCUGCUAGAUGACUCAGUAAAGCACAUCUCCACCAAAUUUCGUAGUAUUUGGAUCUGUCCAUAGUGAGAUAUGAGUUAUUCUUUGAAAGGUACAGAAUCUGCUAGAAAAGUGACAAAUAUUGGAUUGAUCUAGAGUUACUUAAAUUGAAAGGUCCUCAUGUUGGAAUUAUGAUUAUAAGUGUUUGAGGCACCUAAGUUUGGUUUUGAAUUAAUCUAGAAGCAUGACAAGUAUUGAGUACAAGGCUAUUUGAUUGUGGAGUGUACUUGGUGUGCACAUUUUAGUACUCAAAUUGAAGAGCAAAAUCAAACUCAAGAUGAAGAUGAAGUUUAAGUUCUAGUGACUAUUGGAAAUCAUUUGGUAGAAAGAAAAGGACUUAAACAAGUAGAAAGAAAAGGACUUAAAGAAGGAUUCAUGGUUACUCAUCAUACUAAGUCCAUCACUUGAAUCAAUCAAUCAAAGGCAAUUCAAGUGAGUAUCAAAAAUAGUUCUUUGGAGAGAGGUCACUUCUCCCUAUGUGAGGGGCGUGCCGCCCGAGGAGUGGGUAAACCAAGUGUGGUGCUUGGAAGGCUAACAUGGAAGUGGUGAUCUAAAGGACAUUUGAGAUGCUUAGUUGAAGCAAUCAAAAGGAUUGAUCAAGAAAGCAAGCAACAACCCAAAAGAGAGCUAGUCAUGCUAUUUCAAGUGAUAUUCUUAGUAGUUCUCUCAUGCAAGCAAUGACAAGAAAAUAUGAAGCAAGCCAACCACAACAAGAUAGUGCACUUGAUCAUAUAAGUGGUUUUCAUUUCAUACGGGUGAAGAUUUGAUCUAUCAAUUAACAUUUAUAAUUAGUCUUCACCAAGCUUAUAGUUGGACUUCACAUUGCUAUUUGGAGCUAAAUUGGAAUCUUAUUGACUAUACUCUACUCCAAGAUAUCAAAGGUAUCAUUAUAAUGUGCAUGAUCAUUUCAUCCCUUACUAGUAUGUGGUUAGUGCAUAUAGUACAUGCUUAAUAGGAUCAUGCAUGACAAAUGAAAAGUUUUCAAUUCAUAGCCUACCACUAUUGCUUGAAUGAUUAGUUGAUCUAGUGUUAUGUAUAUGAGUUUGUUCAUGAGCUAGUGAACCCAAGUACUUGAUCUAUUUUGGAUUGUUAACAAGUAACAAGUACAACAUUGGUAAGAUAACCCUUAAUGUGAGGUGUGAAAAAGCUUGUCAUUGGUUCAAACCGGACAUGGAAGUUUAGGCAAAUCAACAUAGUUCAAGUCAACAAUUAGAAGCUCAUGAUGAUGAGAGUACAAGAACAAGACAACAAUGAAAAUGGAUAUCUAGACUCAAAUGUUUCUUCGAGUGAUAUCCUACAAUUGGUACUCAUGAUGAUGAUAGCAAAUGUUCAAGAUAGCAAACAUGUGGUUCCAUACUAGAAGACCUUAAUUGGUAGAAGAAUCCCAUAUGGUAUCGGACAAGAUAUUUCAUUUAUACAUAUGGUAUCUAUCAUACAAGAAGGUGGUUCCACAAGUGAUCCUCAACUUUAAGUGAUCAUCAAGCAAAGAAAGUUCCCUCACCAACAAGAUUGACAAGUGAAUGACCCAUGCUAUGACAUAGGGGGAGGUGCCCUACCAAAUGGUAUCAAGGUCAAAGAUCCUAUGUGGUAUCUCAAGAGCAAUUCAAGAAAUGUCAUUCCAACACAUAUGGUGAUGUCCAUCAAAAAUGCAAGAUUCAAGCCUCAACCAUCUAUCCCAUUGUAAUCCUUUGUCACAAUGAGAUUCACAUUUUUUCAAUUGGUAUGAAGUGAUUUAAUUGGUAUCACAUACCUUUUAUGGAAAUUGAUGACAAAGGGGGAGAAGUUGGAACAAAGAUAUUGUAACACUCUAGGUGUUAAGCAUGCAUUUAGCCCUAUCACAACAUGCAUAAGCAUUCUCAUCAAGCAUAGCAUCAUGAGCAUGUCAUUCAUCCCCAAAACAUGAUUUUAUGUGCUUUAUUUCAUGUGUUUUAAUUAUGUUAAAAAUAUGAUGCUUGCUUCUAAAAAUGUGAAAUAUUCAAACUAGGUUGAUUUAUGUGUAAGAAGAAUUAAGAAUAUUUUUGUGUAAUUUUUGGAGCUAUAGAAUUUGAGAAAUGGAAUUUAUACAAAAAUUCCCAAAUUGAAUUUAUUUAAAAAAAAACUAGAACAAGUUUUAAUUUGUAAUUCAAAUUCUAUUUGGAAUUUGGUCUUGCUUAUUAAAACAAAGUUGUAGGGUUUUUGUUUUGGAACAAUUUUUUGCUUUUGGGAGCAAGAGGUGAAAAUGAUUUUAAAAUUGGUCCAAAUGAAUUUAGAAGAGAUUUGGAGAAAAGAAAUUCAAAAAAAAAAAGAAAAGGGGCAGGCGCUGCCGGGCCAACCCCGCCUCCCUCUCGGCCCAGCAAGCGGCCCGGCCUGCCUCCCCCUCCCCCUCUCUCCCGCGCGCGGACGCCCGCCUCGCCCCAGCCAGCGUCGGCCACGUGGCGGCCGUACGCCGGCGAGGAGCGCGCCGCGGCCGGACUCCAACCCCCCCUGGUCGGGACGCCGGCUCGGGCUCCCAGGCCAUUCCCUCCCUUCUGUCGCCCGCGCCCUUCUCCUUCCUCCCUCCGCUCGCGAGUGCGACCGAGCCGUAGAGCUCCGCCGCAGCGCCAUCGCCGGAGCAGCUCCGCUGCUCACCGCCGGCCACUCCAGUGACCAAACCUCGACACCGAAGCCACCAGCGCCUUCGCCAUCGUUAGGGUAAGCUUAUGCGAGUGUUCUACCGAGGUGAGAGUCCGUUGAGCGCCGUGAAUCGCUCGCCGGAGUUACCCCGAGCUCGCCGGAGUACUCCGCCGCGACGGAUCUUGCGUUUCUCUGCCUCUUUUCGCUGGUUUUUGGUUGCGCUAGGUCGGUAGGGUGGUGAGGAAGCUCGGAGAGCCGUUUGCGCGCGCUCUACCGCAUCGGAGCGGCCUGGCCACGGCGAGCAGCGCCGCCGUGCCGCCAUGCAAGCUCGUCGAAGGUGUUCCGGUCAUCCUCCGGCCAAUCCGAGGGUACCGCUGGGUGCGCCUCGCUGCGGGGAGCACGAUGGUGCUCACCCCGUGGCCGGAGACCUCACCGCCGGCGAGAUCUGCUCGUCGGAGGUGAGCACCCUCUCGGUCUCGCUGACCGGUGGGGUCAGAGGCCCACUGUCAGUCGUCGGGGGACCCCGGUGGGUGUAGAUCUGGGUGUGUCUAGCCUUUUUUGUCGGUUUUCUUGAAUAAAUGUUUUCCAGAAAUUGAUUCAAAACUUGUAAAAUUCAUAUCUUAAGUUCUACAGCUCCAAAUUUGAUGAAAUAAAUUUUGUUGCGCUCUAUAUUUUCAGAUCUACAGCCUGAUGUAAUUGCAUGUCAUGCUUGAGUAACUUUUCUGUAUGAAUAUAUUUAAUCCAUGUUUUUGCUAAACUUGGAAAAUGCACAAUAAUCCAAAUAUGACUCAGAAAAAUAUGAAACUUGUUUUAUGGGCUUUGCAUGUCAUUGGGAAAAUAUUGCUACACAUUAUUUGGUGUAUAAAUGAAUUUAUGGUAAUUUAAAUGCUUGCAUGGCAGUGGUUUAUGAUUUUUAGUAAUUAUUUGGAUCAUGCAAUUAAUCUGGAAUUUUUUGUGGUUGUUUCUUAUGAUAUUAGACAAAUUGUAAAAAUAUGAAAUCUGCUGUUUAACACUUAUGUCACAGUGGAGUAAUUAUACUUACCUUAUUAAUUAAUCUUGUGAUUUUUGUAGCUCAAAAUAAGUAUCCAAAAAAAUUAUGAAAAAUUUACAGUAGACUCUAUGGUUGGCUGGUAGUCUCCUGUAAUUUUUGUGGAAUUUAUUGAUGAACAGAACUGCAUGUAAAUUUUAAUGGGCCUAGAAAUGUAUAAAGAAAAUUAUGAAUUGUUGUACAUAUAGGUUGAAUAGAAUAAGUUUGGGUUUGGUGUAUCUUUCAAGCAACUUGUGGGUUACUGGUCACAUUUGAAAAAUAAUUGUAGAAGAGAAUGCAAUAGAUGUUUGAUUCAAUUGUUUGUCCUUGGAUGAUGUUGACUACCUUGUAAUGAGCAUGACCAAGUGUAUCACCUAUGCAUCAUGUCAUGAUCCUUUGGUACCUUCUCAUACGAGCAUCCACUCGGGCAUCACGCACUUCACUCAUGAGCACACAUGCAUCAUACAGGCUCGCAGGAGAACGAGGUGGGACUCGAGGAGCCAGAGGAGAUUCAGGAGCAGGAACCUCCGGAAGCACAGGAGUCCGGAGAGGAACUGCAGGAGUGUCCGGAUCACCGACCAAGCACGUUUGAGAAAGGCAGGCCCCGGAGCAUUCUAAGUCUCCCUAUUCUCGCUAACCUACCGGGCAUACUAUACUUGUUCUACUAUAUUGCAUCUAAGUGAUAGGAAUUGCUUGAUACCGUUGAUGCAUAUGUACUCCUUGUUAUCCCUACUCGUUUACCUGCCUUGUCCUAUGUAGAUAGGCACGGAGUCUAUGCUUAGCUUGCUUAGUCUAGUAGAAGUCGGGUGAUUCCCUGUCACCUGCGAGAUAUAGGUGGAUACCUGCUUGCUUAAGCAGUGGUUGCUUGGGGGAAAAGAAUAACCAAGUGUGGAAUGUAAUUGGAGACCGGGCAGGGUCUUGUGGUGGGUUGACCAUAGUGCCCCUGCCUGUGUCGAUUAAGGACCGAUUGUUGACGGCCCUCUUGUCAUGUUGAACGCAUGCCCCACACUUAGCAGGAAGGAUAAGUCGUUCCGACCGCGAAGACUGAACACUAUCCGGGCCGGGAAUCCAGCCGCCAUGCGCUGUAUUGGUGAUGGUUGAGGAGAACGACGAGGGCGCGGCGCGCAACCUUGAUAUACCUUGGAUACCUCGGUCGCCGGAACGGUCCUCGGGUACUGGCUGUAACAGAACCGUCCAAUUUAUAAGAAUUUAAGUGAAUUAGCGACCACUGAGGCAAUCAAGCCAAUGGACUUGAACCCAUAUAAACCCCGUAGUCCGACGAAAUCUCCACAGACCUCGAUUCAACCAACAUACAACCAAGAUCGUACAUGAUCAAGCAUCACCAUCACAGAUUACAACAUUCAACAGAACAUAGUUUUACAUCACAUCAGAGUUUGGAAGAGGUUAUUACAAACCAUAGCAGUAGCGGAAACAAAAGUAGUUUUGAAACAACUCCAACUCAGUUCAUAAUACAUGCCAGUUCCAUGGUCAAUCCCCACAAAAGCAUAACUGAAGGUAGAAGAGCGAUCACGCCCGUGAUCUAUUCAUCAUCCGCAGCUGGGUGAUGACAGUUUGCACAAUAGCCGUGAUAGACGACAUCAUCUGCAACAGGGGUAAAUAAAACCCUGAGUACGAGAAUGUACUCAGCUAGACUUACCCGUCAUAAACCAGAAAUAAAGUGACACCAAGGAGUAUGCAAGGCUCAUCUUAGUGGACUGGUUUGACUCACUUUUUGCAUAAAAGCCUUUGUGGUAAGUAAUUCAUUUAUUCAUAUUUCAGCAGCAAGUUCAUUACUUAGCAGCUAUCCACUAGAUUAGCACCUGUUCUAAGCAUACACUUGAGUAAUUAAUCAUUUCAAUAAUAACCAUAUCAGGAUUAUCACUUUGCUAUCAACAGUCUCAUCAUAACCAUCAAGUUUAUUUAGUGAAUUCUACGUUGCCGCUGCCCGAGUCAAGUUCUCACUAUCCGGGAGAGACGGCGAUUCGAAUCGAUUCCUAUCCAGCUGGAGGGGUAUUCCUAACACUCACCCAAGCAUACUUCAUGACGGCAGCUUGGAUCACCUUUAGCACAACUCCGGACCAAUUCGUGGGUCCGUACGGCGCCGCACCCCCAGGGACCGCCAGUCUACCAGGGACAGGACUCUAACCUGACACCUUGGUCUUACGCCAUUGACUCCCCGCACAUCCUUACUACCAACCGGGGUGCGCACUUUAACCAGAUCGGGGUAUCCGGCAGGAGUUGCACUCGUAGGCUUCGCGGUCGGAACGACUUAUCCAGCCAACUAAGUGAUAGGCAUGCGUUCAACAUGACACGGGGACGUACAGCGAUUCGGUCCUUAAACGACACAGACGGGGAUAGAUUCACACCCAAGACCUCCAUGCCUUGUUGCUGCACUAUCGUCAUCCCGCCCGGUCUCAAGUUCAUUUUUAGCACCUGGUUAUCUCCACGAUAGCAAAUAUAGCCAACGGUGAUCAUCAUCCACCUAACUCUCGCAGGUGACAGGAAAUCACCCGGCUUCUACCGAGCUAAGCAUGGCUAAGCAUCACUUCGAUCCUGGAACUACUUCGGUAAUGUUUAAGGUGGACAAGGUAGUUACUAUGCAGCAAGGGUGUCAUAUCAACGCCUACCACUUAAUGCAACAAUAUAUAACCAUAGUCAUUUGAUAGCCGAUUAUGAUAAUAAAAUAGUAGGAGGCUUAUAAUGCUCCGGGGCUUGCCUUCGACGUAGGUAGAGGGACGAUGGUCAUGACACUCCGGCAAGUCCUCCUCCUCCUCAACUCCUUGAGGUAGCUCCCCUUGCUGUCCUUCCGGCUCCGGCAACUCGUACUCCAGUACCGUCACACCCUUGGGUACACCUAUGGAUGUAUGACAAGGAGAUGAAUAUAGAGAAUGCACAUAUGAUGCAUGAUAUCAUGAUGAGGAGCCAAAUAGACAUAAAACAAGGUAUAACAUGAGUGCAAACUUCUAAGAUUAAGUGAAUCAUGGAAUAACAAGCCACUGCAUACUUCUUCUCUGGUAGAGAGACUAAUUGGACAAGUUAAACAAAUUCUAGUUAUUCCUACUCAGCCACUGGUUUAGUAGACAAGCCAACCAGUCACAAGUUUUAGCCAUAACUUAAGCAUUAUUUAACCAAACUAAGCAAGUAAGUACUUUCUGGAAAGCUUAGCAAAUUGUCUACAAUUCACUUUUAAACAUCUCAGCAUGAUUCCCAACCGAAAUAUGCUAAAACAUACAAAGUUGGCUGACUGCUCUGGGAAUUCCAGAGAGCAAGCACUUUGCAGCAGCUACUUGAAAUAUGCGUAACUUUUAAACUACUCAACCAAUUGCCAUGAAAUUUGGACACGAAUUAGAUCAGUAAGUUAGCUACAAGUUUGUUGUAGACAAGUUUCCCAGAAAAUAACAUCUUUAAUUAGUUCUCAAGCAUUUUCUAACAGCUACACAGAAAUGCUCUAGGAAAGGCAUAAAUAGCCAAAGAUAAUAUUUUGCACAUGUUGAGAAUGUAUCAAAGGAACAAUCCAAUUGCACUAGUAGAUAGAACAUAUCUAAGAAACACCAGAAAACAUCAUGGUAAGGUCUAAAACUAUUUCUAUCAUCACCUUUUCCAUUUAUUUAAUUAUUAAGGUGAUUUAAUGAACAUAUACUCCAAUUGUUCCACAAAUCCUAAGAAAAUUACAGCAAGCUACUUAUGCUAACAUAAGAUCACUGUAAAAUUUUCAGAACAUUUGCACAUACACAUUGUGACGUAUAAAAAUAACAAGCUAGUAAAGGCAUGCAAGGCAUAAAUGUGAAACCCUAUCAAAAAGUGUCAAACAACAGAUUUCAGAUUUUUCCUAGUUUUGUCCACACAUAAGUACAACACUCAGCAAGUUUCAUCACAAAAGGAGUUAUAACUUAAUUACUAAAAAUAUCACAAUAAACUCCUAUUUAAGCAAGAAUUAUUUUUAACUUCUUAACUAGGCUUCCAAAAAUCUUGAAAAAUUUAUCAGAGCCUAUUCAUAACAUAAGUAACAACUCCCUAAAUUUGCAUGGCCAUCAGAUCAAUAGAUCUCAAGAUAUAAUUACCCACUGAAAAUCCAAGAUUAAUUUAUAUCUAUUUAUUUCUGUAAAAACAUAGCAUGUUUCAUAUUUUUAUUAAAAACUAGGCUUGAGCUGGAACCUAGCAAAAUUGGAAGCACCACAUUUGGAUCUCUAAAACUCCAGAUAUGAAUUUUACAAAAACAGCUUUGGCUCUGCACAACAGUAACCCAAGGGGUGACACAGAGAGGCUGACACCCGGGACCCGCGCAUCAGUGAGAUAGAGGCAGGGGAGAGCUCAACGACGACGAGGUCUCGGCCGGAUCCAAGGGCACCUACGUGUUCCUCUCAUCAAGACGACUCUGUUGACCUACUUUACGCGCGCUCUACUGGACCCUAGGGUGCUCGCCGUCGGGAAUGGCGGAGCGGCGGCGCUGCGCGGCGGUACGCCGGCGGAUCUAGGCAAUGGCGACGUGGUAGAGCGUCAUGCCGAGCAUCAGUGAACCAAGGGGAAGCGAUAGGAACAAGAAUGGAGGAAAAUGGUGGAGCAGAGAAGCCUGGCCACGUUGCCGGUGAGCUCGAGCGGAACUCCGGCGAGGAAGAACUGCUCGGAGCUCGGCAAUGCCGCCUUACCCGUGCUCGACAGUGGCCAAGGAGGUGACGCCGAGGUAGAGGAGGCUCUGGCGAAGCUUUUGGCGGGCUUGUUUGGCCGGAGACGGCGAGAAGAGCUCGGGCGACGCGGCCGUUCCACGGCGGAGCUCGCCGAGGCGAAAUGGAGAAGGGAGAGGGCGCUGGAGAGGCGAAAUGAGGACGGCCGGGGCUCGGGGUGGCGUCGUGGCGUCCAAGUGAAGGCGCCGGGGCUGACAGACGGGGUCGCCGUCGACGUACGGCCGCCACGGGUCAUCCACGCGUCGGCCGGCCGGCGACUGACGAAACUGAAUCGCACGAUUCAGUCGUCGUCGACCGUGUCUGAAACCCAAAGUUCACCGGCGUUUUACUCUCAGCUCACUCGAUGGUUUUGGCUCAAACUUGUUCCUUUGGACAGAGCUACACGAGUUCUACAACUUUGGUUACCAGGUCAAAGUCUAACUCGGUCUGGAUUUCAAACUACAAGGCUCCCAACAACCCUUGGUCGAAACUGCGUGAUCCAACACUUAGCCAAAUUCGGCUAAGUGUGAAAUCAGCACUGAUUUUUGGCUUGUGAGUGACUUUUGGAAGUGUUCCAAGUUUUUUCAUAAUAAGUCAUCAACAGAACUUUUGUAGCUUAUGAAUUUCUCUACAACUUUGUUUCAGGUGUCAAAGACAUGCAAGAUUUCUAACACCAGUUUCAUAAAACAUCUUUGAAAAGAGGUCUAGGAGGGUCAAAAAGGUCAUUCUAGGGAUAACCAUGACUUAGGGGCAUUUUUGGCCAAAACCUUCAACAUGAACUUUGUUCCAAAUGAUAUUCUAAACAUGAUUGAGGUAUUUUGGAAGACAAUGUACAAUUGUUUGCAUUGGCUACCCCUUAGUCACUCAAUUCAAGUCACACAAGCAAUUUAAUCAUGUAGUGCAUAUAGCAAAUGGCAUAUGAUCAUGGUAUGAUGCUCAUGAGUGAUCAUGAUGAUGCUUAUGUUGAUGCAAUGCUCAUGGCUAACAUGGAAGCUAACACUAGGAGUGUUACAGCCCUCCCCCCUUACAAAAAUCUCGUCCGAGAUUUGAAAGACGUACCAUUUUUCGUAGAAUGUGGGAUAAGUUACUUGUAAAUAGUCUUCCCUUUCCCAAGUGGCAUCUCUCUCAUUUUGACGGUUCCACAAAACUCUAAAAAGUUUGAUGACCCUCCCACGAGUAACUCGUUCUUUGACAUCAAGAACAUGUACAGGCUUUUUCUCGUAGGAUAGGUCUGACUGCAACUUGAUAUCUCUUGUUUCAACUCUCUCUUCAGGCACACGAAGACACUUCUUGAGUUGAGACACGUGGAAUACAGGGAAAAUAGCUCUCAUUUCGGGAGAUAGUUGUACUUUGUAAGCUACCUUGCCACUCUUCUCAAUGAUUCGGUAGGGACCCACAUACCUAGGGGCAAGCUUUCUUUUAACACCGAAGCGAUUUACUCCUUUCAUGGGCGAUACUUUUAUGUACACAAAGUCACCUAUUUCGAAUUCAAUGGGCUUUCUUCUUUGGUCAGCAUAGCUUUUCUGCCUAGCCUGGGCGGCUCUCAUAUGUUGCUGAAUAAUGAGAACUUGUUUCUCGGCUUCCUUGACGAAGUCAAUUCCGUAGUACCUCCUUUCGCCUGGUUCAACCCAGUUUAAUGGAGUUCUACAUUUGCGGCCAUACAAAGCUUCGAAAGGGGCCACUUGGAUGCUUUCUUGAUAACUAUUAUUGUAAGAGAAUUCAGCUAACGGUAGCCAUUUCUCCCAUGCACCCUUGGAAGAUAUAACACAAGCCCUCAACAUAUCCUCUAAAAUUUGAUUCACACGCUCAGUUUGACCGGAGGUUUGAGGAUGAUAGGCUGAACUGCGACCCAACUUCGUGCCAAGGAGUGAAUGCAGAUGCUCCCAAAAGCGAGCAGUGAACUGAGGAGCUCUAUCAGAAAUAAUAGUGCGAGGCACUCCGUGCAAUUUAAUUAUCUGAGAGAAGUACAACUCAGCAUAGUCGGAUGGCCGGUAUGUAGAGUGUACAGGAAUAAAAUGAGCUGACUUGGUCAAACGGUCAACAAUCACCCAUAUAGAGUUGUGUCCUUUUUGAGUAAGGGGAAGUCCAACAAUGAAAUCCAUGCUGAUUUCUUCCCACUUCCAACCUGGAAUUGACAAGGGUUGCAAUAAACCUGCAGGUUUGAGGUGAACUGCCUUUACCUUGCAGCAAGUAUCACACCUAGCAACAUAAGCUGCUAUCUCCUUCUUCAUUUUGGUCCACCAGAAACAAGGUCUCAAGUCUUGGUACAUUUUGCUACUUCCCGGAUGAAUGGACAACUUGGAAGAAUGAGCUUCUUCUAGAAUUUUGUUGCGUAGGUCACGAUCUUUAGGUACAACUAGUCAAUUGUCAAACCACAGUACACCUUUCUCAUCUACCCUGAAAUGCUUGGUGUCUUGCUCUUGCAUUUUUCUCUUGAUAUGAUAAAUACCAGGAUCAGAUUUUUGGAGCUCUAUGAUUUGACUCUCUAAUGAGCAACUGACUAUAAUGUUGUGCAGGACCACAGGAUGCAAUAAAUUGAAUCCUUCCUCUAGGAGAGGUCUAACAUGUUGUUUCCGACUAAGAGCAUCAGCUACAACAUUGGCCUUGCCGGGAUGAUAGUGUACUUCUAGAUUGUAGUCUUUUAUCAACUCCAACCAUCUUCUUUGUCUCAUGUUCAGUUCAGGCUGAGUGAAUAUAUAUUUGAGGCUCUUAUGGUCAGUGUAAAUGUGACAAAGAUUACCCAACAGAUAGUGUCUCUAGAGUUUCAAUGCAUGUACAACUGCUGCUAACUCUAGAUCAUGAGUAGGGUAGUUGGCUUCAUGUUUCCUCAGUUGCCGAGAAGCAUAGGCAAUAACUCGGCCUUCUUGCAUAAGCACACAACCUAGGCCAGUGCCAAAUGCAUCACAAAAGACAUCAAAUGGCUUUUCAAUGUCAGGCUGUGCCAGAACAGGAGCGGUGGUCAGCAAAUGGUGUAAAGUGGUGAAAGCAACUUCACACUCUUCGGACCACACAAACUUCACAUCUUUUUGUAGUAGCUUGGUCAUAGGUUUAGCUAUUUUGGAAAAGUCUGGAAUGAAGCGCCGAUAAUAACCAGCUAGGCCGAGAAAACUCCGAACCUCGUGCACUGAAGUCGGGGCCUUCCAGUCUAGAACCUCCUACACCUUUGACGGGUCAACAGAAAUACCCUCUUCGGAUAAAAUAUGGCCUAGGAAAGGCACUUUCUUCAGCCAAAACUCACACUUGCUGAACUUGGCAUAAAGCUGGUGUUCUCGCAGUCCAGUGAGUACAAUCCGAAGGUGCUCCUCAUGUUCUUGUGCAUUUUCAGAGUAUACCAAUAUAUCAUCGAUGAACACCACCACAAACUUAUCCAGUUCGGGCAUGAACACCGAAUUCAUCAGGUACAUGAAAUGAGCAGGGGCAUUAGUCAGACCAAAGGACAUGACUAAAUACUCAUACAACCCAUACCUGGUAGAGAAAGCCGUUUUAGGAAUGUCUUCAGGUCGGAUCUUGAUUUGAUGAUACCCAGACCUCAGAUCAAUCUUGGAGAAUACCUUGGUCUUGGCUAAUUGAUCAAACAGGAUAUCAAUGCGAGGCAAUGGGUACUUGUUUUUAAUAGUCACGGCGUUGAGCGGACGAUAGUCUACACACAUACGCAGAGACUUGUCCUUUUUCUUGACAAAGAGAGCCGGACAACCCCAUGGAGAAGAACUAGGCCGAAUAAGACCUUUCUCAAGUAGUUCUUGCAAUCGCUUUUUCAACUCUGCCAACUCGUUGGGUGGCAUUCGAUAUGGACUUCUAGAGAUAGGUGCGGUACCCGGAAUUAGAUCAAUUUUAAACUCAAUGUCUCUGUCCGGCGGCAACCCGGGCAGGUCCUCUGGAAAUAAGUCCGGAAACUCACACACUACCGGAAUCUCUGCUAAAGUGAGUGGUCGAAUGGCAUUGGCAGCGUGACGGAUGUCAUAAUUCUUGGGAAGCUGGACUAAGAAGGCUUCCUUACUAUCAGGCUCUCGCAACAUGACUACUCUCGUGGAGGUAUCUAUUAACACCCCAUGCUUGCUCAUCCAAUUCAUUCCCAGAAUAAUAUCUAUCCCCAAGCCUGGCAAUACUACUAAAUCUGCUACAUAAUUCCGCACUUCUAUGGCAAUAUGUACAUCCCUCACUACUUGAUUCGUAGCAAUUUGAUUACCAGCAGCACUAAUGCAAAACUUGCCACUGUCAAGAUCAACUACAUGCUGCCCAUGCUUGGAUGCAAAUGCUUGACUCAUGAAUGAAUGUGAAGCUCUAGAAUCAAACAAGACAACUGAAGGGUGUUGAUUUACAAGGAACAUACCAGCAGUGACUGCUUCACCUUCCGGGAUUUCUUCAGCAGUGGUAUAGUGCACUCGACCCAUACGGUUAUUGCCUCCAGCUGCCGUAUUUCUCUUAGGAUAAGGGCAAUUUGUCGCCCAGUGACCAACUUGCUUGCAAUUGAAGCAGGGACGGUUAUAAGGAGGAGUCUUGGGACCUCUUUGACCCGUAGCACCUCUUGGGAGAGCAACUGUGAAGGACUUGCAAACUCCCGUCUUCAUAUUUGACUUUUUCUGCGGCGGCCUACACCUUGUCACAGCAUUGGGUGGGCGAUAGGCCGGCUUGCUUGCCACUGGAGCCUUGGACUGCGAAGCACCUGCCUCAUAGGCCCUCUUGCGGUUCUUGGACGCGGCAUACACGGCAUUGGAGUUCUCUUGAGUCAACGCAUCACUCACAAACUCAUUAAAGGUGGUACUCUUGUUACCAGCCAUGUUCUUGGACAACUUGGGUCCCAACCCUCUCUUGAAACUAGCGAGCUUCUUGACUUCGGUGUCAACCAUCUCAGGAGCAUAGCGAGACAAAUUGUUAAAAGCAUGAAGAUAUUCAGUCAAGCUUUUAGUGCCUUGCGUCAGGUUCAUGAACUCGGUGUGCUUGAUAGUCAUUAAGCCUUGUGGAAUAUAAGUGUUCCUGAAAGCAGUUUGGAACUGGUCCCAGGUUACAACAGCAUUGGCGGGCAAGCUAGUUCUAUAAUGACUCCACCAAACACCCGCUUUGCCCUCCAACUGGUGGGUUGCAUAUUCCGCCUUUAGUUCUUCGGUUAACCUUAGCAAACGGAAUUUCUGUUCCAGAGUGUUAAGCCACUCAUCAGCUUCUAGAGGUUCAACGGCCUCCUUGAAAAGCGGCGGGUUGGUGUCCUGGAAAUCCUUGAAACUGCUGUACUGAUUUGCCUCUCCGCCUUGGCGGACAUGGCGACCACCCCGGUUCUGCUGCGCCAUAGUCUGCAUGGCCUCAUUGAGCAUACGCUGGCCCUCAAUAAGAGCUACCAAUAGCUCCGUAGGCGUAGGCGGGAGAGGAGGUGGUGGUGGCGGCACCUCGUUGUGACUGGAGCGAGUAUUGCGAGCCAUCUGCACAAGGCAUACCAAGCGAUUGUUUCAGGCAACAGAUAUAAUUGUCAUGAACUUCAAUUGCUGCCAUACGGAAUUUAAUGAAGUAAAUUUACAUAAAUUAAGGCACAAUAAUCCAUGUACAAUAAGAAAAUAUCUUCCAUGAUACUUGGUUAUUCUCGCGAUCAUUCACAGCCACAAUUUCUCAAGGAUUAACGACAUUGCAGAGAUUUAUUUCAGCUCAACAUAAACAUGGAGCAUCACAAAUAAGUGCAUAAGGUUAUAUAGAGUCAUUGCCACACUUAAGUUUUACAGGAGGGGCACCAUGGCCAAAUACAUAGAGUCUCAAUUAAAAUUCAGAUUACAUGUCCAUUACAUAAAGAGAUGGAAACUGACUCAUGAUCAUAGAAUUAUUGCUAGGCUACAUAUCUUCAUCAGAUUCUCCAUUAGAAAUGAUGCCAUCAUCCUGAUCUUCCUCACUAGGAGCUUCUUCAUGAUUAAAAGGGGCUGGUUGUGGGAUAGGAUUUAUAAUAUUAUUUAAGCGAUGGACAUCCAACUGCAGCUCAGCAAUCCUAGUAAUCAGCUCUUCCUCUCUCAUUUCAGCAUGGAACAAGGCUCUAACUCUAGUAGCUUGUUGGAUAUUUUAAACGCAAACAGAAAAAUCCGCAAGCGCACGGAUACCGAUGUAGCUUUCACCCGGGAGUAUUCCAGAGUAUCGAUUUUCCACAGAGAACGUGAGUGUACUAAUUAAGAUCCAAGAUCGCCCAAGGAUAACUAUAUAACUAUUUUUUGGUGGGAAGAGAGGAAGUUUCCUGAGAGUUCUCUAGUUGAUCUAAGAAUCAAGAAUUACUUCAAGAUUAUCUAUAUCGUGACAUCAGAACACUAACCACAGAAAGAGAUGAGAAGGGGGCUAGGAAGCUCCGACUACGGUCCUACAAACACCGAUCCGAACGAGGUGGAAUACGUCGACCGUUAGGGCUGUCACUACCCUAAGGCUACCACAACAAUACGCAGGAUUGGGUGCAAUUCCAGGUAAUUGCAAGACUAAACACCACGUCUAAUCUAUUAAUUACUACUCUAAUGUUUCAAAGAUUAGAGCACUUGAUGCAAGUGGGAAACCAAUAAAUAACUUGAAUGUAAAUAAAAGUAAUUAGAGAACUCAGGAGUUAUGAAUUGAAGAACCUGGAGAACGAUGAAGAACGAACCAGCUGCUGCAAAAGUACAAUGUUGAGGAAGAUCCGACAGAUCCGGCUCCUCCUCCGCUCUCCUCUUCUCUCUCCCUAUUUUCUAGAUUACAACUAGAACUAACUAGAACUAGAACUAGAGGAACUAGAACUAGAAGAACUAGAGGGAUCCUCUCUACUUGGAUGAAGAAUUGGGGGCCUUGCUUAUAUAGUCUUUUCAGAUGAAUCUGGGCCGUCGGAUCAAACCGACAUUGAUCGUGUGGUUUUCCUUGAAGUAUUAGGUCGGUGGAGCAUGAUCCCCGAACUUCACCCUGAUUGGUCCAGGGGGGAGGGCGGGCGCCUUGUGCCUGAGCCCUCUCGGCCUCCGCUUCGGUCCCGUGGCUUCUGGAGUCUUCUAGAUGGUAGAUAAUUGUGCGACAUGUUAAUAUCUCUAUGUAAACCCGACGUGUGGGCCUUUCUUCCGUAUUUCCUGAUAACCCCCUGCAGAAAUAGACAAACACCAAAACUUGUGGAAUUCUGUCAGAUAAAACCCUAAGUCUAGGUGUUGGUUGCAUUUGGAUCCUUUUCCAUGAUUAAUUGAUGGUUAAAUAUGAGUAUUAAGGACCGUCAACAAGCUCCCCCAAGCUUAACCUUUGCUCGUCCCUGAGCAAAGAUGGACUCAAGAGUUUCUGUAGUGGUUUCAUAACUUAAAGAUACACAUGCGUUUAAACAAGAUCUCAUCUCUGGUUAGAGUAAACUGUUAAUACUUAAAACUUACUCAUUUUACCUUCCACCAUGGGGCUUGCAACCGUCACUUGUGUCUUGAGCAGUUAAAAGAUAGAACGGUCUAAUCAAGCGCCAUGUCUCAUUUUCUUGAUCAACUAUAGCUCUGGAGUUUUUGCAUAUUUUCAAAUAAAACUCAGAGAUUCCUUGUAUGACUCUCUCUAGUCUCUCUUUUGUGGUAUUUCUGGAUCCUUACCAAGGCAGUAAAGGUGUAUGCCUUCUCUCAAAGUAUGUAGUAUUUUUGGUAUAAGGCACAGUGACAUUGCCUUCUCUCUCACCCUACUCUAAUAAGGCUUUUGAUAUCUGGAGCUCAUAGGUGGGAGACAGCUACUACAUACUUACAAGACAUUUAUUGCAUAGUCAAACCAUGGAUCCAGAAGAACAAGUCAAUAAGUCAAAUCAAGAUGUGCAUGUGUGGCGAAUGAAUGGUGUAUGGUGAUAAUGGUGAUAACAAUGGUGGAAGUCUAAUUCUACUUAUGCUCUUUUAAGGGGAUACAUACCUUUCUUGCUCUUUUGAAACUUUUCGAGGGGAAUGAGAUGCUCUAUAUUUUCUCUUUUUUUUCAGGUGGGUAUCUUGUACCCCUAAUUCUACUAUCGGACACUUGUCCAUUUUUACCUCUCGUCUCACUUUUUUUUUCUUUUUUUUUCUUUCGAGGUUCCGGGCACUUGCCCCUUUUUAUUUCCUCGCAUCUUCUUUUUUAUUUUUUUUUAUAUUAGAGCACUCAUCUCCUGAAAUAAUAUAGCAAGUGGUAGUAACUAAGAUAACUUGAGCAUUUAUUUCACAGGGGAAAAACAGACAUGUUUUUGGCUAUUCUCUCCCGGAUUAGGAGUAGAAUAUUUUUAGGUGGUUCUGGAGAUGGAAAUGGGUGGAUGUAUGUGGAUGCGUACUUCCAGAGUAGAAGUAGCAUGUAUGAGUGAACGUGCAAGUGAAUCUUGAUUUAACCACAUGACAAGCUCCUAAGGGUCUACACAGCUUGACCAUACUCAAUGCUCAUAAGCAGUAAAAAGUAAAUGUGUGGCUCAAAGUCUAGCAAGCAUGUAUAUAUGGCUGUGGUAGGAAUCUAAACUCUCAUCAUACAGGAACUCAUCAUGCAACAUUUUAAAGAUUUUCAAAGAUAAAAUUCUCCAGAAUUCUAGCAUCUCUAGGAACAGAUAAACAGCAGCUCAACCUUCCCAUAUCAUAUCCGUUAACGACUUAGACUUCAGAUCAAGUACUCUUCCCACAAUUUCAAGUUUAGAGCAAAUCUUAAUUAAUAACAGUCAUGCCUAAACUUGAGAGAGAUUUCAAUUUUGAGAACUAGUCAUGGCAGAGCAACUAUUCAUUAUUUCCAUGUGAGAGCUUAUUAUGAGGAUUCAAGCAAACUUUAUUUAUUUAUUUAUUUAGCAAACUAAGCAAAGAUAUAUAUAAGCACAAAAUCUUUAUUUGGGUUUCUAUGAUUAUGCAUCUUUUUAUUAUUAGAGUAAAGUAUAAACGUGAGUAGAAUACUUAGCUGGAUAAAUAGGGGUGCUCUCCCUCAAGCUGGAUUUUGACAUAAUUCCUUUUGAUGUAGCUAGCAGGUGGCGGAGUUGUAUCUGAAUGCCGACAGCACCCUGACAGCGAUUAGGAUGUCCUCCUUCUGCUAGUCUUCUUUGAUCCUUGAAUUCUGUGGAGCUCAAAUAGACAACAAAGCUUUGUGGAACUGGUUAAGUGUUAGCAUAAAUACCUAGCCUUUAUCAUGUUGAGCCUCCUCAAUAAAUGUUACUCUCUUUAGUAGGAUCAUAAAUUUAUUUUUAUAUUUUCAUUUUUAUAGGACAGGAAGAUAUAUUUAUUUUUACGCCACCACAGUGAAUGUACUUAUGGGUUUUAUGCCAUGAGCAUACUCACAUGGGGCUUACUAUUUUUAACAUUUUUAUUUUCUUUUCAAGAUAGCAUGAACCUGAUUAACUAAGCAAACUAUUUUAAAUAAUUGAAAGGAAAAGGAUAACUACCAAGUUUACCUCUUGGCCAGGCGUUCGGUGUUUUUAAGUCCUCCGAACGGGACUCUCCGUUUUCUCAGUCGUCCUGGGAUUCGCUAGAUGGCGUAGUCGGUGGUUCCGGCGAUGCCUGCUCUUCAUGUAUAACUAUCUUCUCUCUACACACCUGACUCGGUGCUACGGUGUCCUCAGGAUAGUUCUGUUCAAGUUGUAUGUCUUCAGACCUUACAACUUCUCCUUCAUAGUCUACCCAUCCGUCCUUGAUGAUUUUGCCUUCUCUGGUUACGGUUGUGUCGUCUUCUUCUUGUCCUGACCUGCUUAGUGUCUUCAACUAUAUAAUUAAGGUCAGUAAAAUAGCGGCGUACCUUGUUAGAGGGGAAGUUCAUGUGGACUUCUCUGGUUCCAAUGUAGAUGAUUGCUUUAACGGUGCUGAGGAACGGUCUUCCAAGGAUGAUGGGUGGAUCGUACUCAUCUUCUCCCAUGUCAAUGACCUUUCGGAAUGUCUAAUCUGCCAUCUGGAGCUUAAUGUAUGUCGGUUUUAGGGGCAUGCUUCCGAACAGGAGUUGAUAGGUGACUGCGGCCAUUAUGUUGACGCCUGACCCGGUGUCGCAAAGCAUCUUUUGGAAGUUGUAUCCAUUGAUGGAGCACAGGAUGUUUGGCAUACUUGGGUUGUCCUUUUUGGUCAGGAAUGGUGACUUAAGUCGACGAUCUUGACCUCCUUGAGCUGCAGUGACCAUCUUAGCUGACUCAGUCCACAUUUGCUUGUUCUUGUUCCUCCUGUUGGUCCUCUUCCUUGGUUCAUGUCGGGAUUGCUCUGAGAUUUGUGUAAUCUUGUUCUUGAAGGAAAACGUCUCAUUUCUCCCUUUGAUGUAGAAACUGAUCUUGGCAGCACUAGCAUAGAUGACAGCUCCCGAGGUGUUCAGGAAUGGCCUCCCUAAGAUGGGUGCCCUCUCAUCAGUACCAGUCUCUAUCACCACAAAGUUUGCUGGGGCGUACAAGGUACCAACUCGGAUGCAGAGGUUCUUCAAUAUUUCCUUUGGGAAACUUAGUGUCUGAUCUACAGGCUGCAACCAAAUGGUUGUUUCUAGUAAAGGAUGUGUAAAGAAUUUUUCAUAGAGUACCUUGGGCAUAAUGUUGACGCUGGAGCCAAAGUCGCAGAGUGCUUCUUGGAAGUCCACCAUGCCGAUGGAGAUCGGGAUGACGGGGCGUCCUGAGUUGUCUCUCUUGACCGGCAGAAGGUCAGUAAUUACUUCCACAACGGGGUUACUCCAGUAGUUACGUCCUCAAGCAUCUCAGGGCAGUGAUUGCCUGAGUGUCCAGUAUCUCCAGUAUGUUUGUGCUCGGAGAUCUAUGUUCUUCACUUGGUGGAGUCUGGGAGUUGUAAAAGUCCUUCAUAUUUUGCUCAAAGUGUACCUACUCAUAGAGACAAGGCAGAGAUCAAGUGCAUGGGCCCUGUUGGUGGAAAACACCAACAGAACCAAAAGUGUAUUUGUUCUUCUCUAACCUCAAGCAUAGUGAGCAAGACAAAGUUGAUGGAUAAUAAGAUUAUGAGUGUAGUAUUUAAAACAUUUGUCAGAUCAGAUCACUCAACCUAAUGGAAAGAUAAUCUAUCUAUAUUUAUCUUUUGUUUAUAUCUUCCAAAGAUUGAAUGUGCAACAUUUUAGCUUAUAUGAUUAGGAGUGUGGAAUCAUAAAGGUGGAAAGACUAAACCUAUUGAAUCGACUGGGUUGGUUAUCUAUAGUUGUAAAUCAUACAUGUUUGUCUCUUUUAUUCAUGUGAACGCCAGAACUAAGGAGAAGCUUAUAGAAGUGAUAGUCAAGUACUUUAAGAUGUUACCUUACUUGAAGAGUGAUGGUACAGUAUCACCUUGUGGAAGCUUUCCUCUCUUAGCGGUUGUGCAUUGUGUUUGUGGCACCCUCCAUGGAUCAUCUCUUGUGAGCUAUGUCUUCCUUGUGUAAAUUGUUAAACUUCAUGUGUGUCUCUCUUUGUCUCCAAUGUGAGUUUAUCUCAGGAACUCCCAGGUUGAUAUUGAAAGUUUUCCUGCAGGGGUUAGUCCAACAAAAUAUCCAAUAUGCUUAAUUUAAAGUCCUUUGGAAGUAAGAUCAUCAUUCCUAAACUAAGCACCAUGCUUAAUUAAGAGAUAAAUGAAACUACUCCAAACCUAGACAUAUACUAAAGCAAAUAAAGGUAGCAUGAAAGGAUUUAUAGAGAUCUACUCAAGUGGAGAUGAAGUAGUGUGAUUAGUAUUUAACAAAUUGAGCAUGUUUCAAAGGUAGGGACAACCAACAUAGCAACAUGGUAAAGGAUGUUUUAUGUAAAGUACUCCCCCAAGCUUGAAUUUUUGCAAAAUUCAAGUUUGGAUGAAUUUAAUUCAAUGUUGUAUGAUAGUUGGUUGGACAUACCUUGUGCUUGUCAUUCAUCCGAUCAUCUUGCUCCAAUCCUGAAAAGGUUAGUGACAAGAAUACCCGAAGGAAUUUUCUACAAUUAUUCUUAUAUGCUCAACACUCAAGGUAAUGUUGCAAAUAGUUAAAAGCUCAUGUUACAAUCUGAUCAGUGCUUGUUUUAGGACACUAAGCUUGUCCUUGGGAAACCAUCGAUUUAUAUCGGCGAAGUGGUUUCCCCUCCAACGCUGACUUAUAUCAAUAUCAACUCAACGAGAUCUACAAUAUUUAAUAUAGACAUAUGCAUCGACAACCACCCUUUUACAGUUUUUAUAAAUAGAAAGGAUGAGGGGGUUGGAGAUCUCGAAUGUGGUGAUGUUGGAGAGACCAAUGGAUUGUGAAGAUGUUGCAUAUGAGCAUGGAGUAAAUGAAGUGGCUAUGAAAUAAAUUCCAUACUCAUUAAUGCUUAGAGUGAAAUCCAUGUGGUAUGGUGAAAAUGAUAAGGUGAGUGUGGUAAAAAAGGAAAAGAAAAAGGAUACACGGACGACUUGGUUCGAAACUAGCACAGCUACCGUUCCCCGGCAACGGCGCCAGAAAGCUUGUUGGAUAUUUUAAACGCAAACAGAAAAAUCUGCAAGCGCACGGAUACCGAUGUAGCUUUCACCCGGGAGUAUUCUAGAGUAUCGAUUUUCCACAGAGAACGUGAGUGUACUAAUUAAGAUCCAAGAUCGCCCAAGGAUAACUAUAUAACUAUUUUUUGGUGGGAAGAGAGGAAGUUUCCUGAGAGUUCUCUAGUUGAUCUAAGAAUCAAGAAUUACUUCAAGAUUAUCUAUAUCGGGACAUCAGAACACUAACCACAGAAAGAGAUGAGAAGGGGGCUAGGAAGCUCCGACUACGGUCCUACAAACACCGAUCCGAACGAGGUGGAAUACGUCGACCGUUAGGGCUGUCACUACCCUAAGGCUACCACAACAAUCCGCAAGAUUGGGUGCAAUUCUAGGUAAUUGCAAGACUAAAAACCACGUCUAAUCUAUUAAUUACUACUCUAAUGUUUCAAAGAUUAGAGCACUUGAUGCAAGCGGGAAUCCAAUAAAUAACUUGAAUGUAAAUAAAAGUAAUUAGAGAACUCAGGAGUUAUGAAUUGAAGAACCUGGAGAACGAUGAAGAACGAACCAGCUGCUGCAAAAGUACAAUGUUGAGGAAGAUCCGACAGAUCCGGCUCCUCCUCCGCUCUCCUCUUCUCUCUCCCUAUUUUCUAGAUUACAACUAGAACUAACUAGAACUAGAACUAGAGGAACUAGAACUAGAAGAACUAGAGGGAUCCUCUCUACUUGGAUGAAGAAUUGAAACCCUAACUUUGAUUCUGUAGAAGAGGUAUGAUCUCCAGGGGCCAGGGGGCCUUGCUUAUAUAGUCUUUUCAGAUGAAUCUGGGCCGUCGGAUCAAACCGACAUUGAUCGUGUGGUUUUCCUUGAAGUAUUAGGUCGGUGGAGCAUGAUCCCCGAACUUCACCCUGAUUGGUCCAGGGGGGAGGGCGGGCGCCCAAGGGACUAGGGCGGGCGCCCUGUGCCUGAGCCCUCUCGGCCUCCGCUUCGGUCCCGUGGCUUCUGGAGUCUUCUAGAUGGUAGAUAAUUGUGCGACAUGUUAAUAUCUCUAUGUAAACCCGACGUGUGGGCCUUUCUUCCAUAUUUCCUGAUAACCCCCUGCAGAAAUAGACAAACACCAAAACUUGUGGAAUUCUGUCAGAUAAACCCUAAGUCUAGGUGUUGGUUGCAUUUGGAUCCUUUUCCAUGAUUAAUUGAUGGUUAAAUAUGAGCAUUAAGGACCGUCAACACAGCUUCUCUAUUUUCAGCCAAGCGCAUAGCCUCAUCUCUCUCUCUAGUCAUUUGCAUCAUACGGGCUUGUGCCUCAUUGCACUCUCUAACUGCAUUCUCAACUUGGUUGCGGCGGGCUUGCAAAGCAGUAUGAUAGUUUUGGAUUUCAGCUUGGGCAUCCAUAAAAGCCUUGCAGUGCUUGCGCACGCGCUUGCGCAAUUUGCGCUGCCCAACUUGUGCUUGUUGAAGCGCUAGCAUGGCAUCUAUGUAGGUGUCCUGGCGUACAUAGUACAGCUUAAGUACCGCUAGCAUGGCACUCAUGGCAGGGCUAGAGCUAUAUCCUAACAAGGUUUCUCUCAUCUCUAAAGACUCAUUACCAACCUGGGACACAAAUUUGUCAGUCACACUCACUCUGGGAACGGAUCCUGCUGGGCCAUUCACUAGCUCAUCACCAUGCUCUUGGCAAAUCUCUAGCAAAACCUCCAGGGCUGCUACUUGGGCACCCUCCCAAGGAGUUUGGCCAUCACAGUCAACUAACCAACCUAGCCACUGUGGGUUAUUUGGACAUGGGGGAACUGUAAUUUGGACAUCUACCCAAGGUAAGGCUCCUGCAUGCUCAGCCUCGGUCCAAGUGUACUUAGGUGGUUCCUCAUAUCCAACUGAACUUAACACCCUCCACAACAAAGUAGGAGUGCCAAACAUGUCCAGGAAAGUCUCACUCGCGUGCGGGGUGUUGACGGUCCUUAAGUAUCAAAUUUAAUUAUCAAAUAAAUAAAGAAAAGGAUCCAAAUGAAAUCAAGAUCUAGACUUAAGGUUUUAUCUGACAGAAUUCCACGAGUUUUGGUGUUUGUCUAUUUCUGCAGGGGGUUAUCAGGAAAUAUGGAAGAAAGGCCCACAUGUCGGGAUUACGUAAAGAUAUUAACGUGCUGCGCAAUUAUCUUACAUCUAGAAGACUCCAGAAGCCACGAGACCGAAGCGGAGGCGAAACGGGGCCUGACCCUGGGCGGCCGCCCAGUUGGUCAGGGCGCCCGCCCACCUCCUGUGUCCAAUCAGGACUCUGCUUUGCGGGAGAUCUCCACCGACCUAAAGGAUGAAUCUAAACCAUACAAUCUAUAUCGGUUUGAUCCAAGGGCCCAUAUUCACUUGAAGGGACUAUAAAACCAGACCCCCUGGCCCCUGGAGGAGAGAGCCUCUCAACCCUAAUUCAUUGUUCCAUCAAGGGAGAAGAAGCCUCUGAUCAAGAUUAGAGCCACCACAUCAAUUAGACAUCUAGAUUAGCAUAGCUACAUAGGAUUAGAACUAGAAGGAGUCAAUCUUCGAUUGGUUUCCGGAUCUGUCACGAGAAUUCUUGGUAAUUCUCUAAUUGUGCUUCUAAUUGCUUUCUAAUUAUCUUUGUUCUUCAAUAUUAUGAAUAUGACUUUGUUCUACUUCAAUAUAUUGCUUAUGACUUUGCUCUACUUGUUUAUAUUCAAGAUUAUAUUGUUCUUAGUUUAUCAUAGUUAUGUACUUGGCUUAGUUAGAUACGAUCUAUAUACAUGCUUAGGAUCGUAUAGCGUUUAUCCAUCGGAUCCAUGGGUAAAUGAUAGAUAUUGUGUAGGCGUGGUGCUUAUACCGUAUUUAUCUGCUAUUGUACCCAAUAUGCCAGAUCGUGGGGUGGUUCGUGAUAGUGACAGCUUCAUUGAUUCUUAUAUAGUCCCCCUCUCGUGUAUUGGGCUGGCAGAGCAACAUUAUUACAGGGGAGUGAUUGCUAUGUUUCUCAUAUUCCUUGCUAAUAUCACUAUGCAUGGGCGUAGUCUUGUCUCGCAAUGAUUGCUAAGUAUGCUUGCACUAACUAUGAUAAUGCUAGACUAUAUAGUUAAGAAUAACUUAGGGAAUAUUCUUGUAGUUCGUUCUAAUACCAUGCUAAUGGCUUUCUAGAGUAUCUAAUUGAGGUGCUUAUCAUAUUUAUUAUGUGGCUAGAUCAGAUUAGUUAUCCUUGUCACUAUUAUUAUUUCAUAUAUCCUUUAUGUGACACUUAUCCCUGUAUGAUGAGUUAGAUAUAAUGUUCUCAAUUAUACAUGCAAUGAUAGAUGCUCAAUCUCAUAUUCUAUUCUGUAAUCAAUAGUGAUGAUUGCUAAUCCCUUCCCAGUGGUAAAAAUAAAAAUAACGAUACCUGGAAUACUUUCCGGUUAAAAUGCUGCAUCGGUAUUAAUCUGUGCGCUUGCAAAUCCCAUUCAUUAUUUAUUUAGAAGAGCAAUUGCAUAUUUCAAUACCGCGUCUCUUAUAUCAUGCUGGGGAUGACAACUUGGCUUAAGUGGUGUGAGGGAUAGGUUUGGCAUUUUUAGCACCGUUACUAGAUUAGAGAACUUAGUCUACUUUUGGUAAUGAUGUUAAGAAUACCCAACAAGCAUUUUUUGGCGCCGUUGCCGGGGAAGGUUAAUUACUAAUCAGGAAUGGAAUAAAGGAUUUUGAGUUAUCAUUUGCAUCACUAAUAUGAUUGAGCUUAUCUAUUCUCUCAUACAGUUUUACCCCGAUAUUUUUCUAUUUUAUCUUAUGCAGGGGAAUGUAUGAAUAGAAGACAUCUUCCAGGAAAUUUUGUUGACAAUCCUGAAGCAUUAUUCAAGAAGACGAGAGCCAAGCUAAAGAAAUCAUCAACACUUCAGCAAUAAGCUUCAUCCAAUCAAGAAGAUCACCGGAACUUGUCUUCAGAGUUAGAGGCCAUGGCGAACAAAUCAAUCCGCGAGUUCUCAGCUCCCACUAUGGACAACAUCCGCACGGGACCUGCUACAGAGAUCGAUAGCAACUUUGAGCUCAAGCCUAGACUUAUCAACAUGGUGCAAUCCAACCAGUUCUGUGGGAAGGCACACGAAGAUGCUAGUGCUCAUUUACAACACUUCCUGGAGAUUUGCAACACAUUCACCAUACAAGGAGUUUCCAAAGAUGCUAUACUACUUCGCCUCUUCCCAUUCUCACUGUUAGGAAGAGCGAAGCAGUGGUUCUACGCUACAAAGGAGAAGAAUACUACCUGGGCACUCUGCUCAACAAACUUCCUGGCAAAGUUCAUUCCCAUGGGCAAGACUAAUGCUCUCCGUGGGAAGAUUACAAGUUUUCAGCAACAAAAUGAUGAAUCUGUUCCAGAAGCAUGGGAGCGCUUUCAAGACUACAUCCUAGAAUGUCCCCAUCAUGGAAUGGAGAGUUGGCUAUUGAUGCAGACAUUCUAUCAUGGGCUCAGUAAUAGUGCCCGAGAGACCAUGGAUGCUACAGCUGGAGGAGCAUUCUUAUCACGUACUAUAUCACAAGCCACAGCUCUUGUGGAGAAGAUGGCGUCCAACCAAAGCUGGAAUGAAGAGAGGACCCAGACACGCAAGAGAGGUGGAGGUAUGCAUCAGCUGAAGGAGGUAGACAUGCUGUCUGCAAAGCUAGACCUGCUCAUGAAGAAGCUCGAUGAUAGAGCUGGAGACAAGAAAGAAGUUAUGCACAUCUACGACUCUCACAUGACUUGUGAGGAGUGUGGAGACACUGGACACUCAGGCAAUCACUGUCCUGAGAUACUUGAGGAUGUGAACUACAUCAACAACAACAACAACUACUACUACUACAACCGUCCUCAACAAAAUCAAGGUUGGAAUCAACAGAGGCCUAACUACUCAGGUAAUUAUCAAGGUAACAAUUCUUACAACAAUAACAAUAAUUUUCCACCUUUGAGAGAGUUAGUAUCUAAUCAAGGAAAGCUAAUGGAUAACCUAUCUAAGAAAUUGGCAUCUAAUGACAAAAUGCUAGAAAAUAUAAAUAAUAGAAUGGAUAAUUUCUCUACUGCCAUCAAGAAUCAAAUUAGCUUUAAUAAAAUGAUUGAAUCUCAGUUAAAUCAAAUAGCUGCUGCUGUUCCUACUACUAACCCCGGUAUACCAUCACAACUGGAAGGAUUAGAAUCUGCAAAUCUUGUAGACGUGUUUGAUGCAGGUAAUUGGAGUAACCCCGUCAAUGAAUUUUCUACUGACCUUUUGCCGGUCAAGAGAGGCGAUCCAGGACGCCCCGUCAUCCCGAUCUCCAUCGGCAUGGUGGACUUCCCAGAAGCACUCUGUGACUUUGGCUCCAGUGUUAACAUUAUACCCAGGGUACUCUAUGAAAAAUUCUUUACAUAUCCUUUACUAGAGACAACCAUGUGUUUGCAGUUUGCAGAUCAGACGAUAACUUUCCCAAAAGGAAUAGUGAGGAACCUUUGUAUCCAAGUUGGUACCUUGUAUGCCCCAGCAGACUUCGUAGUGGUAGAGACCGGAAAUGAUGAGAGAGCACCUAUCAUCCUAGGGAGGCCAUUCUUGAAUACCACGGGAGCUAUCAUCUACGCCAGUGCUGCCAAGAUCAGUUUCUACGUCAAAGGGAAGAAGGAGACAUUUUUCUUCAAGAACAAGACUACACAAAUUCCAGAUCAAUCCAGACGUGAAUCAAGGAAGAGGACCAACAGGAGGAAUAGGAACAAGCAAGUGUGGGCCGAGUCAGCUAAGAUGGUCACUGUAGCCCAUGGAGGCCAAGAUCACCAACUUAAGUCACCGUUUUUGACCAAGAAGGACGACCCAGGAAUGCCAAGCAUUUACUGCUCCAUAAAUGGAUACAACUUCUACAAGACAUUUUGUGACACCGGAUCGGGCGUCAACAUAAUGGCCGCAGUCACCUAUCGGCUCUUGUUCGGGACCAUGCCACUAAGACCAACAUACAUUCAGCUCCAGAUGGCAGAUCAGACAUUUCGAGAAGUUAAAGGAAUAGUAACUGAUGUCCCAGUCAAAAUAGACGAUCACUUUGUCUACACAAACUUUCAGGUUAUUGACAUGGGAGAAGAUGAGUACGAUCCACCCAUCAUCCUUGGAAGACCGUUCCUCAGCACCGUUAAAGCAAUCAUCUACAUUGGAACCGGAGAAGUCCAUAUGCACUUCCCCUCAGAGAAGGUAUGCCGUUAUUUUACUGACCCUGACUAUAUCGUUGAAGAAUCUAAGCAGGUCAGAAAGAGACACAACCGCAACCAGAGGAGGCAGAUCAUCAAGGACGGAUGGGCAGACUAUGAAGGAGAAGUUGUAAGGUCAGAAGACGUUGAAUUUAAACAGAAUUAUCCAUAGGAGAUUGAAGCAUCAAGUCAGGUGUGGAAAAUGAAGAUAACUAUACAUGAAGAGGAGGCGCUGCCGGAAGUACCGACUACGCCACCCAACGAACCUCAGGACGAUUAAGAAAUUGGAGAGUCUCGUUCGGAGGACUUAGAAACACCGAACGCUUUGCUAAGAGGUAAACUUGGUAGUUACCCUUUCCCUUUCAGUUAUUUCAAAUAGUUUGUUUAGUUAAUCAUGCUUAUGCUAUCUUAAAAAGAAAAUAAAAAAUGUGAAAAACUGUAAGCCCCAUGUAAGUAUAUGAGUGGCAUAAAACCCAUAAGUACAUUCACUGUGGUGGCAUAAAAAUAAAAUAAAUAUUUUUUCUGCUUUAUAAAACAAAAAUAUAAAAACAGGGAGUAAUAAUUAUUAAGGAGUCUCAAGAUGAUAAAGGCUAGAUAUUUAUGCUAACACUUAAUCAGUUCCACAAGCUUUGUUGUCUAUUUGAGCUCCGCAGAAUUUAAGAAUCAAGAAGACUAGCAGACGGAGGACAUUCUAAUCGCUGUCACAAUGCUGCUGACUUUCAAAUACACCUCUGCCACCUGCUAGCUACACCAAGAGAAAUUACGUCAAAAUUCAGCUUGGGGGAGAGCACCCCCAUUUAUCACGAUAAGUAUUUCUAUCUAUCUUUAUACUUAUAUUAUUUUAGAAUAUUAAAAUACACAUAAACUAUGGGAAAACCAAAUAAAGAUUUUAUGCUUAUAUAUAUCUUUUGCUUAGUGUGUUUAAUAAAUAAAUCAAGUGGCUAUGCUAAUCUGUAUCUAAAUAAAACUUAAGCAUGGAUAUGAUAAAUAGUUGCUCUACCUAAUUUGCAAAUUUUAAGUUCUCUCUCAAGUUUAGAUAUAACUGUUAUAAUUUAAAGCUUGCUCUAGACCUAAACUUGUGGGAUGAAAACUUGAUCUGAAGUCUAAGUUGUUAACGGAUAUGAUAUGGGAAGGUUGAGCUGCUGUUUAUCUGUUCCUAGAGAUGCUAGAAUUCUGGAGAAUUUUAUCUUUGAAAAUCUUUAAAAUGUUGCAUGAUGAGUUCCUGUAUGAUGAGAGUUUAAAUUCCUACCACAGCCAUAUAUACAUGCUUGCUAGACUUUGAGCCACACAUUUAAUAUUUACUGCUUAUGAGCAUUGUCGGUGUUUUUCCCCCGGGGGGUCACACCAACGAGUAAAUUUGUAUGCGUGCUCCCCUUUCCGGAUGGUGAUGCAAGAAGACACAGAGAUUUAUCCUGGUUCGGGCAAGAGAAGGCCCUACGUCCAGCGGGGGGAGAGAGUUUGUAUUAUCUUGCACCUAAGUGCUUGUACAGGGGCGAAUACAAGCGUGGUAUGAAGUGUCUAGCUCUACUACGUGUGUGUGCUCGCUCUUGUGUUGGGAUGUCUAUAUCUUCUAUUCCUGAGUCCCUCCUUUUAUAGCUCCAAGGAGAGACACAGGGUACAUGCAUAGAUGUUAGAGUAGGGAUCGAUAGCCGCAUGGAGCGCUGACCUACUCGAGGCUUCCGUACGGCAUGGCCUCGAGCCGUCCCAUCUUGAUAGCUCGGUGAUGAUUGCGCGUGCUCAUGUGUUCUGCCCUGCCAGCCGCCUCGUGCUGGUUCUGAGGUCGCACGCUUGUACGGUAUGGUGGCGGACACGACGGGGUAGCUGUGAUGAAGUCAGUCGACGCCCAACUUGUCCCUGGGAAGGGGCCCUGUUUGGUCGAGGGUCGGACGCCGUGUAAUAUGCUGGCGUCUGGAGCGCUGACCUUGGGUGUCUCGAGGGGGUCCCGAUUAGACGUUUCAUCCUUGUUUCCUGCGUCCUGACACGCCCUGGGUCGUUCGGUGGGAAAGCUGCAAAAAGAACGAUGGGACAGAAGCUUGCUCCCUAUCACGCCUUCCGUGACCUGUGUGUUAGGUGGGGAAGCGUCAGGCGCAUUUAAUGCUCCGGCCCGCGUGCGCGCGUCGGGCGGCGGACAGUGUCCUCGCGCCCGACACCUCUUGGUUCGCUCGAGCCUGCUUCCGUCAUCGACGGCAGUCGUCGCUCGAAUCCUGAACCGAUUCGCUCGACGCUAUUUCCGUCUUCGAGGCUGCGACCGUCGAUGGCAGCGCAUACGUAAGAUUAGAGCGUCGAAUUAAGGGUCUCGACCUUCGUACGGUCAAUCUCAUAAUGCGCAUCGCUGAGGGUACCCCUUACCGAUACCCUCGACAGUAGCCCCCGAGCCUCCAUUUGAGCGCUAGCGCUCGAGUGGAGGCUUUGUUUUGCGGUCGAAUUUCCGUGGGGGCGCGCGAGCGAACCCGCGGGGGUAGCCCCCGAGCCCUCGGGGGAGUUUUUGACUCAUUCGAGGGCUAUGUUCUCUAAUUCGCAGAAACGCUUUCGACGCCAGUGGUGGAAGGUUCCGAUUGGCUAGUUUUUGCCCGGGGGUUUCGACGUACUCUCGAUAGAGCGAGCGUCUUCCAUCCCAAAUUGAGUUCCUAGCGGGUAGUCCAAGUGAGAACCUGUGCCCCUUUCGAGGGGGUCAGCUGUAGCCCGGAGGCGUCCUCAUAAAGCAGGGUCGACGUGGUCGGGGAUACUGGUCUCAUUCGAUAGAGUCCAGCGGCUCGAUGCCUCCCUUCGGGGGGAUUCCUCUCGACUGUCUCGACCCUACCUUGAACAUCGCCAGCGAGUCCUCGAGGCGGGCCUCGAUCUUCGACCGCUCGCUGGGGAUCCCUGACUCUGGCGCUCGAGAUCGGCUGUCGAACCCUUUCGGCGGGCCAGCCAUCGACCUCUCGAGACUUUUGCGGUUAUGUCCCUUGGCUUACGAGGGAAGGAAACGGUCGUGGCGGUUCGCCUUUCUGCCCGUUGGGCGCGUCUUUUUAGGCGGAUGACGUUACGACACCGUAUCGGCGAGGAAUUCGGAGAGUCCGGCCUGUGAGGAGAGAGAGAGAGCUGUUAGGCGGCGCAUUUAUGGGGGGGAGUUACCUUACUUCUCGGAUCUGUCCGUUGGCGGACAGCUGCCUAUAAAUACGUCGUCGCGUCACCGCCGUUCCUCUCCCUUCCGCCUUCUUGCUCUUGUUCCUUUGCUGCCUUUGCUUUCUCGUCAUCUCACGCGCACACGCCCCCUCGAGCUGUAGCGAACCCACCGUCCCGUCAGCCGAGAUGCCUGUAAGACUCGUCGCCGCCGACGACUGGCGCCCGUCGUCGAUGACGGAGCGCCGGCUGUUAGAGCUCGAGAAGGAGGGACUGCUGCGCCGUCGCCAGAAUGGAUCGCGCCGCCAGCGAGCCACAGGGCGCCUCAGCCACCCGAAGGCUACGUGGUGUCGUUCGCCAAGUUUCACCGCCACGGUUUGGGCGCGCCUCCAAGCCGCUUCAUGCGGGCCCUCUGCUUCCAUUAUGGGGUGGAGCUGCAGCACUUCUCUCCGAACGCCAUCACCGUGGCGGCGGUCUUCGCCGCCGUGUGUGAGGGCUUCCUAGGGAUGAUGCCGCACUGGGAGCUGUGGCUCCACCUCUACAGGGGCGAGCUGUUUCACGCCUCCACCGGAACCACGGGCGUGAGGAAACCCGUGCGAGCGGGUUGCCUCAAUCUGGUGCAGAAGACGGGGAAGACGGACCGGCCGCGGGAGUACAUCCCGGUAGGGUUGUCGACCAACCACGCCGGUUGGGACUCCCAAUGGUUCUACCUGCGGAACGACGACAACCUCCUACCUUCCUACUCGGGCCGUCUGAUCUUGGAGCGCCCAGCGGACUGGACGUACGGCGUCGUCCAAGCUCAUCAGCCUCGGCUCGACCCUCUCCUCGACGCCCUGAAGAAGCUUCGCCAGGAAGGUUUGACUGCCGCCCUCGUCCUCUCGGCCGUCCAUCAUCGGAGAGUUCUCCCUCUGAUGUCGCGACCGCUGAGGAUGGACGAGAUGGGCCCUGGCGUCUUGUCUUGGGACCUCGAGGCAUGUCGGAUGUCCAGCGAGCCUCCGGCGGACGAUGAAGUCACGGCCCGAGUCAGGGCCGCAAUUGCCGGUGAUUUUAAGCCGGAGCAUGUCAACGGCUUCCCCAUGAGACCUGACGCGGGCUCGAUCGAUCUGGUGCGCUUUCUUCUUGCGCGCAUCCUCGAUUCUAGGUUUCCCCUCUCCCCUCUCUUUUUUUUCUAAGUCUACCUUAGUUUUGGCAGGGUCAGAUUGAUGUCCGGUCCUCGAGGCCUCCAGUAAAGGAGGACGAGGUCGAUCGCGACAAACGGCGCCAAUCCGCCGAGAAGCUGAAGUCUGCCAAGGACUCCGCAAAGAAGGGGGAGAAGAAGAAGAAUCUCGACCGCCAAGCAUUAGAGGUGCGUCGAGCCAAAUCCAGGCAGAGGGGGGAGCCUGAGGAAGAAUCCCCCAACGAUGACGAUGACGACGACGAGAGUAGCGAUGACUCCGAGGGGAUGGCGUCGCGCCUCGAUCGGAUCCUCGAGGGCCCGCCUCGAGGUGACGUCGACGCCCCCCGGACGGAGGCGCUGGAGGAGGGUCCGAGCGGAUCUCGUCGUCCCCGGCCCGACGCUCCUUCCGCGCUCAAGGCGGGCCAAGACGCACCGCGCCCUCCCCUGGCGCCCAGGGAGAGCGGUCCGGCUAGGUCCCAGGCGUCGGGGCCGCUAACCCGUGGUCGCGCUGCGGCCUCUGAGAAAGGAGACGCCGGCCGUAGGAGCGCGAGUCCCGGCGCCCGCCAGGCGGGGUCCGACGUACCUAGGCCGGUUUCUGCCCUCGAGGGGCCUAGCGCCCCGACGCGGGGUGGCUCGAGGCCCGCUGGUCGGGGUGGCGGAAGGCGAGCCGUUCUGCCCGUGGGGUAAGCCCUUUUGUUGUUGCGGUCUUUGUCCCCCCAUUCUUUCACCUUUCCUCACGUGCUGACUUUUUCUCAGGCUGAAACGGACCCUCGAGCAGGCCCAACCAUCGAUGGCCAAGAGGCUCAGAACGGGUGCCGCCUCCACGGAACUAGGUUCGUAGUUAAUUCCUGGGUGUCGCGAUAUUAUUACGUCGGUUAUCAUAACGUCUGACCCUUACCCUUUGUUUUGUAGGCUCGUCAAGCACCCAACCUCCAGCCGGCGUCGAGAUUGUUUCACCUCGUCCCGCGCCUACUCCGCCGCCACCGACUCAUGAUGCGGCCCCCCAGACGCGAGCGUCAGAAGGAGCCCCCAAGCCCUCUCGAUUGGGGGUCGAGGGGGAACCCAUCACCAUCAGCGAUACGUCUGAUGGCAACGAAGCGUCUGGGGGCGCUCGACCCAUGGAGGAGGAAGUGUCGACUCCCAACGUCGCGGGACGAACUCCCUGGCCCGCGGGUCUUCGAGCCCUCGAGGCGCAAAGGAAGAUGGUGGAGGAGGAGGGGCGGGAGCGUGAGGCGACGCAGCCGUCACUGGAGCAGCAGCAGCAGCGACCCCAGCCGAAGGGGCAACUGCAGCAUCAGCAGGAGGAGCCGCAGCAGCAGCUGGGGCAGCAACAGCAGCUGGGGGGCCAAGAGAACGAGCCACUCGAGCCCCCGCCUCAAAUUUUGGCCGAACCGGCGCCGCUGGCGUCGCAAGAGCCCGGCGAUCAAGAGGGAGAUUUGCCGGUGUACGGGCCUCCCACCCCAGCGUGGCUCCUCCCGGGGGCGCCUGCCGCGAUCCGGGCAGAGUCGGGGCGAGCGGACGGAGUGGUGGCGCUCGCCUGCAUGAUGCGCACCCCCACCGACCCCGAGUCCGAGAUCAAGAGGACACUCUACGGCAUGGACGGGAUUGCCCCAGGGUUCCUCCGGGAGCGUCGAGCGUGGGAGGACCGCUUUCCCUCUGAGGAGGACGAGAUCGGGUCGUCUGGGAGCAAGGACGGUACGUGGAAGACGGUGGAUGACGACGGGCGGUUCCCUUGCCUCGCCGACCUGUUCUUGCGCCACGGGGGUUCCCUCGAGACCGUCGAGAACUUUCUCCGCGGCGUCAAGGUGCGGGCUGAUCGGGAAAUGGAGAACUGGUGUCCCGAUCGGAUUCGUAUCCGAGCUUCCAGCGACCCGUCCGAGCCCAAUAUCUUCCUUGAUGACAAGAAGGAGGUCGAGAAGUGGGAGCAUGUCGAGGAGCUCUGCCUUUGGAUGAAACACGUGGUGGGGCUCCUAUCGGACGUCAUCAACAACGGGCUCGGGCCAGCUUAUUUUGUAAGUGUUUCUUGAAUUCCAAUCUUUAUGGUGCUCUCUGGUUUCCGUAUUCUAAUCCAUCCGACCCCUGAUUCGCAGGAUAUGAAAGAGACCUCUCGCAUUAAAUCCAGCUUCAUACAUGCCACGAGGGGCGGAUGGGAGCAGCUUCCCCUCCUCAAGGAUCAACUCCUCGAGUCGCAGGAAAACCUGCUUAAGGCUUACAAAGAUCUCAUAGCACUCGAGGAGGAGAAGAAGGCGAGGGAGGCAGCUCUGGCCGAGGCCCGGGAGGUCUCGAAGAAGGCGGAGGAGGAGGUGAUGCGGCUACGGGAGCGGGCUCUUACGGUCGAGGAGGCCGCGUCCAGAGCCCGGGAGGAGGCCCUGUCCUACCAGAGCGUCAUUGCGGAUCUGGACAAGGAGAAGGGCCUUCUCCAAACCGACCUGGACUCCCUCCGCGAUACCUUCCAGAAGAUGAAGGUGGCGUACGUGGACAAUGAGGUCGCCAGGGGUGCCGCCGAGGACGCAAAGAAGAAAGCCCUCGAAGACCUCGAGAUGGAGCGAGCUCGAUCCCGUAGUCUCUCUGACGACGUCGAGCGUCUGAAGGGAGAACUGCUGGAGAAGAGUGGAGCCGUCGCUCAGGCUGGCAGGGUGAUCGAAGGUCUCCGCGUCGCCAAUACUGAGCUGACGCGCUCCAACAGAGAGAUCGAGCGUGGCAACACCAGAUUGGUUGGCGAGAACACGGCUCUAGAGGAGAGCAUCAAAGGUAUGUUCCCUUUGUCGAAUUUCCUUUUCGAGGUAUGCUUGAGUUUUUCCUAAAGCUCCUUUGUAUUGGCAUUUGUAGGGCUCAAGGACGAACUCCUGGCCGCCCAAGCCGAGGCUCGCAACGCCAAGGCUCAACUCGAGGCUGAGGUUGCUUUGAACCGUCGAGUGCGGACGGCGAUAAGCGAUCUCUCGACAUCUUGGGAGGUCGAGCCUAUGGAUGAGUCGAGGGAGGACUCUCGAGGCGACGCACUGGUCGAUCAGCUGUGCUACUUAGGUGCGACGCUGCGAGAUCGGGUGCGGGAUGCCCUCCACAUCGGGUGAAGCGGGCGAUGGCGGUUGUCUGCUCGGGCUUCUCCUACGACAUGGAGGUAGUAUCCCACGGCUUCGUCACCGACAUCUCUAAGACCGACGCGGAGAACGAAGAAAGGCUUCACGCUUUGAUCGACGACGCGGAGGCUCCUGGAGAGAGGCUGGCCAAGCUAUUUGAGCCUGAGGUGCUUCCUCCUGAGACUGGCUCGGGCGGAGGUGAGGGUGGCGAGGAUCGUACCAUGGACUGAGGCCUGCGAGCCUGCUCGGGGUGCCUGGGGCCCCUUGUAUAAGACUUUGUUAAUCCUGUUUUUAAGCGAUACAGUAUUUUUGUGGUUGUUAAAUGUUUGUUUGUCUUUCCACUCGAGGUUCUUUUAUUUCUUUUUGCGCCUACAUAUGUGUUCCUUGUUCGAUUUUUCGUAAAAGACAUCUUCGAUCGCCUCGAGGGUGAGGGAGUGAGUAGAGUUUCCAUAGCCCGGGGGCGUAGGUGUUCUCAGGCUCGCUAUCCUUCGGUCCUCGAGGGGCUCGAGGCGCCUCGACUACUCGAUCGUUCAAGGUUUACUAAGUAGGAAAGAGAGAAACUUUUUGGCUUUUUUGACGCUUGGGGAGGGGUCGUCCCUCUGGUAGCCCCCGAGGGGGUGCGGACUAUGAUGGGUCAUGGUCGGCAUCCCCUUUUGAUGUCGAGACUAUAACUCGUAACUAUUUUUGGUGCAGAAAGAAACCGCUCGAGGGAAAGAUUUUAUUUAUUCAUGCGUUCAUUUACAAAGUCUUCGUACAAAAAGUAGGAUCGUAAAUCUAGGACUUCUAGGGGUAGAAUCGACGUAGCUGUUCGAUGUUCCAUGCGUUGGUGAAGACCGCCCCCUUUUCGUCCGCCAAUUUGUACGUUCCUGGCUUAAGGACCUCGGCCACCACGUACGGGCCUUCCCAAGGUGGGGUCAGCUUGUGGCGUCCUUGGUUGCUUUGCCGGCGUCGUAGGACUAGGUCGCCUACGUUGAGGUCCCUCUUGCGCACGUGCUUGUCGUGGUAGCGUCGGAGUCUCUGCUGAUAUCUAGCAGAGUUGAGGAGGGCCAUAUCUCGAGCCUCCUCGAGUUGGUCGACCGCGUUUUCCUGAGUCUCUUUGUUCGAUUGCUCGUUGUAAGCCUUGAGUCGUGGUGACCCAUAUUCGAGAUCUGUGGGGAGGAUGGCUUCAGAGCCGUAGACCAUGAAGAAUGGGGUGUAUUUUGUGGCCUUGCUUGGCGUUGUCCUAAGGCUCCAUAGGACUGAGGAAAGCUCCUCGACCCACUUCUUGCCGAAUUUCUUCAAUCGAUUGUAGAUUCUUGGCUUGAGUCCUUGCAGAAUCAUGCCGUUGGCACGCUCGACCUGGCCGUUAGUUCGAGGGUGGGCUACUGCGGACCAGUUCACACGGAUGUGAUGCUGAUCGCAGAAAUCCAAGAACUUUCUGCCAGUGAACUGGGUGCCGUUGUCGGUGAUGAUGACAUUGGGGAUCCCAAACCGAUGGAUGAUGUCGGAGAAGAAGAGGACGGCCUGCUCGGAGCGGAUGUUGGUGAUGGGUCGAGCCUCGAUCCAUUUGGAGAACUUGUCGAUAGCCACCAGCAAAUGGGUAUAUCCUCCUUUCGCUUUUUGUAGAGGCCCUACUAAGUCGAGCCCCCAUACCGCAAACGGCCAGGUGAUGGGGAUCAUCUGAAGAGCGUGUGCGGGCAGGUGCGUCUGUUUGGCGUAGAAUUGGCACCCAUGACACGAGCGUACGAGCUCGAUGGCAUCCGCCACGGCCGUUGGCCAGUAAAAACCUUGCCGGAAAGCGUUUCCUACAAGGGUUCGUGGGGCGGCGUGGUGGCCGCAAGCCCCCGAGUGCAGGUCGUCGAGGAGUUUUCGGCCUUCCUCUACGGUGAUGCAACGUUGUAAGACCCCCGUCGGGCUCCGUCGAUAUAGCUCGUUGUCUUCGCCAUAGAUCACAUAUGAUUUGGCCCGUCGAGCAAUACGACGAGCUUCUGUCCUGUCUUUUGGCAACUCACCGCGGAUAAGGCAGUCGAGGAACGGUGUGCGCCAAUCGAAUGGUCGACCCGGUUGUCGUUCUAUUUCCAUCACCUCUUCCUCCAUCAAGAGCGCAUCGACAACAUUGGUAGGUUGGGCGAUGGUGGUGUCGACGCCAGCCCCCGUGCCUAGGUCGACGGAUGGCUCGUGUAGAUCCUUUGAGAAUGCAUCAGGCGGCACUGUGCCUCUGGUAGAUGCAAUCUUGGCGAGUUCGUCGGCUGCCUCGUUGUAGCGUCGAGCGACAUGGACAAGCUCGAGGCCGUGGAAUUUGUCUUCGAGUCGACGCACCUCCUUGCAGUAUGCUUCCAUUUUUGGGUCAUGGCAACUCGAGGUUUUCAUUACCUGGUCGAUGACGAGUUGGGAGUCGCCUCGGACGUCGAGGCGUCGGACUCCUAACUCGAUAGCGAUUUUGAGACCGUUGACGAGGGCCUCAUAUUCUGCGACAUUGUUAGAUGCGGCGAAAUGAAUCCUGAUUAUGUACCUCAUGUGGACGCCCAAGGGUGAGAUGAACAGUAGGCCGGCCCCGGCCCCAGUUUUCAUGAGUGACCCGUCGAAAUACAUUGUCCACAGCUCCGCCUGGACCUGAGUUGGGGGAAGCUGGGAGUCCGUCCAUUCCGCGACGAAGUCUACCAGGGCUUGCGAUUUGAUGGCCUUUCGAGGCGCGUAAGUGAGAGUCUCGCUCAUGAGCUCGACCGACCACUUAGCUAUUCUUCCCGUGGCCUCCUUGCUCUGGAUUAUCUCGCCCAAGGGGAAAGAAGAGACCACCGUGAUAGGGUGACCAAGGAAGUAAUGUUGCAGUUUGCGGCGGGCAAGGAUUACGGCGUAGAUCAGCUUCUGGAUUUGGGGGUAACGCGCCUUGGUCUUCGAAAGCACCUCGCUGACGAAGUAGACUGGCCUUUGGACCGGCAGCGCGUGACCCUCCUCUUGUCUUUCGACCACCACCGCCGCGCUGACGACCUGGGUCGUCGACGCGACGUAGAGGAGUAGCGGCUCCGCAGGUUGAGGUGGAACCAGGACUGGUGCCGAGGUCAGCAUCUUUUUCAGUUUUUCAAGUGCUUCCUCGGCCUCGGGGGUCCAAGAAAAGCGCUCGACCUUCUUUAGGAGUCGAUAUAACGGUAAUGCCUUUUCUCCUAGCCUCGAGAUGAAACGGCUCAGAGCCGCCAGGCACCCCGUGACUUUCUGUACACCCUUGAUGUCUCGGAUCGGCCCCAUUCUCGUGAUGGCCGAGACUUUCUCGGGGUUGGCCUCGAUGCCGCGCUGUGAAACAAUGUAUCCUAGGAGCAUGCCUCGAGGCACGCCGAAAACGCACUUCUCGGGAUUAAGCUUGAUCCGGCUGGUGCGUAAGCAGCUGAAGGCAACCUCGAGGUCCUGGAUCAGGUCUCCUCGUUGCUUUGACUUGACGACAAUGUCGUCGACGUAGGCCUCGACCGUUGAGCCUAUAUGUUCGCCAAAUACGUGGAGCAUGCAACGUUGAUACGUGGCUCCCGCGUUUCGAAGCCCAAAUGGCAUGGUCACGUAGCAAUACAUCCCGAAAGGUGUGAUGAAAGAGGUCGCGAGCUGGUCGGACUCUUUCAUUUUAAUUUGGUGAUAACCAGAAUAAGCAUCAAGGAAAGAAAGGGUUUCACAUCCCGCGGUAGAAUCGACAAUCUGAUCUAUGCGUGGCAAUGGAAAGGGAACUUUCGGACAUGCUUUAUUCAAACUAGUAUAAUCGACACACAUCCUCAUUUUCCCAUUCUUUUUCUUAACUAAUACAGGGUUCGCUAACCAGUCAGGAUGAUGAACCUCCUUGAUGAAUCCGGCCGUCAAAAGCUUGUGGACUUCCUCGCCAAUGAUCUUGCGCUUUUCCUCGUCGAAUCGGCGCAACCGCUGCUUCACUGGCUUGGAACCGGCUCGAAUCUCCAAGGAGUGCUCGGCGACUUCCCUCGGUAUGCCCGGCAUAUCCGAGGGACUCCAUGCAAACAUAUCAGCAUUUGCACGGAGAAAGUCGACGAGCACGGCUUCCUAUUUGGGGUCGAGGUCGGUGCUGAUCGUCAGCACCUUGCCGUCGGAGUUGUUGGGGUCGAGCGGGAUCUUCUUAGUUCCUUCCGCCGCCUCAAAGCUGCCCGCAUGACGUUUAGGCUCUGGAGCCUCAGCGGCCAUGGCCUCGAGCUUUGCAACGAGCUCGGUGGAGCUCUCGACCGCCUCCCCGUACUCGACGCACUCGACGUCGCAUUCGUACGCGUGCUCGAAGGAGGAACUGACGGUGAUGACGCCUUUGGGACCAGGCAUCUUCAGCUUCAAGUAUGUGUAGUUGGGUAUAGCCAUGAACUUGGCGUAGCCCGGGCGCCCGAUGAUGGCGUGGUACGUGCCUCGGAACCCAACCACCUCAAAAGUGAGGGUCUCCUUCCUGAAGUUGGCCGCCGUGCCGAAGCAGACCGGUAGGUCGAUUCGACCUACUGGCAGUGCCUUUUUCCCCGGUACGACGCCGUGGAAACCGCCGGCGCUCGGCUGGAGGCGUCCUCUAUCGAUGCCGAGGAGGUCGAGGGUCUCGAGGUAGAUGAUGUUGAGGCUACUGCCACCAUCCAUCAGCACUUUCGAGAGUCGGGUGUUGAUGAUGAUAGGGUCGACGACGAGCGGGUAGAUGCCUGGGGCGACCACCUUGUCAGGGUGAUCUUCUCGGUCGAAGGUGAUGGGAGUGCUUGACCAGCUAAGAUAAUGGGGCACCGCCAUUCUUGCUGCAAAGACUUCGCGAUGCUCCCUUUUGCGCUGCCUCGCGGUCAACUGAGUCGAAGGCCCACCAUAGAUCAUGUAGCAGUCGUGGACGGCGGGGAAACUGUCGUCAUCUUUGUUGUCUUCCUUGCCGCCAGCCUUCUCCUUCUUGGAGUCCUCGCGCGUAUCUUUUUGGAACCUCUGACCGUCGAAAUGCUUUCUCAGCAUACGACAGUCCUUGAGUUUGUGGUUAGCGCCUCCCUUAUGGUAAGGGCACGGCUCCUCCAACAUCUUGUCGAAGAUGCCUCCCUCCGGAGGGCCUCGCGGCUUCUUUCGAUCCAUCGCGGCGACAAGGUCGUCACCCGAAUCUCCCUGGUGGAACUGCCGCACCUUCUGCUUCUUUUUAUUUUUCUUGAGGCCUCGACUGGAAGUCCCAUCUUCAUCGACGGGCUGCUUGCCUUUUCUUCCUUCUGAGCUGAAGAAGGCGCCGACUGCCUCCUCCCCUGCCGCGUAGUUAGCUACUACGUCCAUCAGCUCGUCGACGGUCUGAGGUCGAUUGCGGCCUAAUUCCCGCACCAAGUCUCGACUGGUGGUGCCCGAGACGAACGCCAAGAUGACGUCGUGGUCGGGGAUGUGUGGCAACUCAGUGCGCUGCUUCGAGAAGCGUCGAGCGUACUCCCGAAGAGUCUCUCCUGACUUCUGCUUGCAUUUGCUGAGGUCCCACGAGUUCCCUGGCCGUAUAUAGGUCCCUUUGAAAUUACCCUCGAAGACUCUGACCAGGUCAACCCAGUUGUGAAUCUGAUUGGAUGGGAGUUCCUCGAGCCAUCGACGGGCGGUGUCAGAGAGAAAAAGGGGUAGCUGUCUGAUGAUGGCUCGAUCAUCCCCCCGAGCGCCACCUAGCUGACAAGCCAGCCUGAAAUCGGCCAGCCAUAGCUCUGGCUUGGUUUCUCCAUUGUACUUCGCGAUGCUGGUUGGGGGUCGGAAUGGACUAGGCAGGGGCGUGCUGCGAAUCGCCCUGCUGAACACCCGCGGGCCCGGUGGCUCGGGGGCCACCCGGUCCUCGUCGCUGUCGUACGUCCCACCGCGAUGCGCGCUAUAACCACGUUCUUCCGCGUCUCCGUGCCGGCGGCGUCUAUUUUCUUUGACAUCGUGUCGCGCGUCGUGUCGACGUUGAUUGUCGGCAGGGAGGAUGAGAGCGGCCUUUCUACCUUGAGGGGGAGGUUGUUGCUGGACAGACACCUCCUCUUCGAUUAGAGGCUGUUCGUCGCGCUUCUCUGUGGCAGCCCCUCGUCGUCGAGAUGCUGAACUUUCGGCUUGUUGAACUGCCGCCACCUGGAGCAAUGUCUGAACUUCAUCUCGAAUUCGUCGGGCCUGGGAAUUUGAUGGUUCCGGCAUGUUACGUAGCAGCAUCGUCGCUGCCACUACAUUCUGGCCUGCUCGAGGGAAACGGCUGACGGGUUGCUCCGCCUCUGCGUCACCGACGAUCUGUCGAUGUACCUCACGAGCGCGUCUGCGGACACUUCCACCUGGCGAGUAGGGCAGGUGUUGUUCGAGGAUUUGCUCGAGCAGGACGAGGCGCUCGCGAUCUUCAUCGAGCUUCAUCUUGAGCUCCCGCAGCUGCGCGAGCUGCGCAGUUCUAUCUUCCUGAGGAAGAGGGUCGAGCCGUCCGUCGUUCCCAGGUGUCCUGGGGUCUUCUUGCGCCGCGGGGGCUCGACCACCCGCAGCAGCAUCCCGUGUCUCGUCGGUGGUUUCUGCCGCCCCGUCGAGGUGAUAGCAUUCCCUCGUAGGGUCAUAGCUGUCUGUCUCAGAGUCGGAGUCCGGUUCGGCAGCGUGGAAACACCCACGUCCUUCCUCCAGCCAUCGUUGCCUGAGGGAGGUGAUCGAGUAUCGUCCGGGGUCUAGACGGCGGAGGCCUCGUACUCGGGAGAGGUCCGGCAGUUCGGACGUCGGCCGCCGCGCUUCAGAGCUACGUGGGAUGACCAUUGGUCUUUCCACGUACGUCUGAGCGUUUGGGCGUAUCGUCUUGGCGAGCGACGCCGCGGCGUUGUCCAACCCGAACGGCAGUGCCGCCCUUGGAGAGAACGACCCGUGUGGAAGCAGCCUAGCUGCGGUGGGGGAGGGUGCGCGAGACGCGUCUCCCCCCGUCGUCGCGUGGUGCUGAGUCGUCGUGCUUGUUGCUCGGUCACACGGUGUCGCCGACCCGUGGCCCACAUCCUGCCUUGUGCGAGUUGUUGGUCGUACCGAAGCAGAGGGGCUGCGGUGGUGCUGCCCGCGCCUCUUCUUAGGCGGGGAGGCGUGGUGGUGAGGGCGUCUCGGGUCCUUCAACCGUGCUGGCGUAACGCGGACUCCUCCUGGUCCUUUGACUGAGAGCAAGAUCAUGUCGUAGCCGGAGCCCGUAGACACGAACUCGAGACUCCCAAACCAAAUCACCGUGGAGCGCGGAAGCGGCGAGGCAAGAGUAGCCAUCCGGGAAGUAGUGGGAAAUCGGUAAAAAACACGCAGGACCUACCUGGCGCGCCAACUGUCGGUGUUUUUCCCCCGGGGGGUCACACCAACGAGUAAAUUUGUAUGCGUGCUCCCCUUUCCGGAUGGUGAUGCAAGAAGACACAGAGAUUUAUCCUGGUUCGGGCAAGAGAAGGCCCUACGUCCAGCGGGGGGAGAGAGUUUGUAUUAUCUUGCACCUAAGUGCUUGUACAGGGGCGAAUACAAGCGUGGUAUGAAGUGUCUAGCUCUACUACGUGUGUGUGUGUGCUCUUGUAUUGGGAUGUCUACAUCUUCUAUUCCUGAGUCCCUCCUUUUAUAGCUCCAAGGAGAGACACAGGGUACAUGCAUAGAUGUUAGAGUAGGGAUCGAUAGCCGCAUGGAGCGCUGACCUACUCGAGGCUUCCGUACGGCAUGGCCUCGAGCCGUCCCAUCUUGAUAGCUCGGUGAUGAUUGCGCGUGCUCCUGUGUUCUGCCCUGCCAGCCGCCUCGUGCUGGUUCUGAGGUCGCACGCUUGUACGGUAUGGUGGCGGACCCGACGGGGUAGCUGUGAUGAAGUCAGUCGACGCCCAACUUGUCCCUGGGAAGGGGCCCUGUUUGGUCGAGGGUCGGACGCCGUGUAAUAUGCUGGCGUCUGGAGCGCUGACCUUGGGUGUCUCGAGGGGGUCCCGAUUAGACGUUUCAUCCUUGUUUCCUGCAUCCUGACACGCCCUGGGUCGUUCGGUGGGAAAGCUGCAAAAAGAACGAUGGGACAGAAGCUUGCUCCCUAUCACGCCUUCCGUGACCUGUGUGUUAGGUGGGGAAGCGUCAGGCGCAUUUAAUGCUCCGGCCCGCGUGCGCGCGUCGGGCGGCGGACAGUGUCCUCACGCCCGACACCUCUUGGUUCGCUCGAGCCUGCUUCCGUCAUCGACGGCAGUCGUCGCUCGAAUCCUGAACCGAUUCGCUCGACGCUAUUUCCGUCUUCGAGGCUGCGACCGUCGAUGGCGGCGCAUACGUAAGAUUAGAGCGUCGAAUUAAGGGUCUCGACCUUCGUACGGUCAAUCUCAUAAUGCGCAUCGCUGAGGGUACCCCUUACCGAUACCCUCGACAAGCAUUGAGUGUGGUCAAGCUGUGUAGACCCUUAGGAGCUUGUCAUGUGGUUAAAUCAAGAUUCACUUGCACGUUCACUCAUAUAUGCUACUUCUACUCCGGAAGUACCAUCCACAUAUAUCCAUUCAUUUCCAUCUCCAGAACCACCUAAAAAUAUUCUACUCCUAAUCCGGGAGAGAAUAACCAAAAAUAUUUCUAUUUUCCCCUUGUGAAAUAAAUGCUCAAGUUAUCUUGUUACUACCACUUGCGAUAUUAUCUCAAGAGAUGAGUGCUCUAAAAAAAAUAAUAUACGAGGAAAUAAAAAGGAGCAAGUGCUCGGAACCUCGAAAGAAAAGAAAAGUGAGACGAGAGGUAAAAAUGGACAAGUGUCUGACAGUAGAAUUAGGGGUACAAGAUACCCACCUGAGAGAAAAGAAAAAUAUAGAGCAUCUCAUUCUCCUCAUAAAGUUUCAAAAAGCAAGGAAGGUAUGUAUCCCUUCAAAAGAGCAAAAGUAGAAUUAGACUUCCACCACCAUUGUUUUCACCAUUGUUAUCACCAUCAUCACCAUACACCAUU